This 51362-nucleotide long non-coding RNA is filed under the name Coffea arabica (coffee). RNAcentral's name for it is "long non-coding RNA (CARA_LNC006510)". Lineage: Eukaryota; Viridiplantae; Streptophyta; Magnoliopsida; Gentianales; Rubiaceae. The record is from RNAcentral.
UCAAGUUAGGUUUUUAACAAUAAAAUAUUCCGUUAUUUCCUUCUUAAAGUUGAAAGUAAGCCAAUCCAAGUAAAAUUUGUACCAACACAGCUAAUAAAAGUAAGUUAUAGAAAAGCCUUGGAUCCUCAAUUGUGUCAAAUGGUACUGCCAUAUUGUCUCCACCGAAAUUAUACAUCUCAUUGGAACUUAACUUAGCAUAACAGGUUAAUUUAGGAGAUUUAGGUAAGCAAAGCUUCAAAAUAGGAGUACUCCUAUCCUGCUUAGACGUUCUCCAUGACUCCAAUAACAAGGAUGCAUUCUCUCAAUCUUGAAAGUUCGGAGGGAAUUGAGAAGGUCCACUUCCUCGUAGUACUAAUGCAUACAGGCUGGUGUGAUUGGACAUUUUCAAAGAACAAGUACAAAAGCACAACAACUACUUACCGGCUUCAUUAUAGACAUGGUACCAUUUCCACUUGUAUUCAGUAUAGCCCCUCAUAGUCUAUGUACACAAUGUGAUCUAAGAACUACUACGCAAGGUUAAUGCUUGUUGGGAUGAAAUGCUGCGUCUCAUAACAUUUGCUACUGAUUUUUAUUUUCUUUAAGUUGACAACUUGGCAUAAAACAUCAUCUCCAAAAAAAAGAAAGUGUUGCACAAUUGGUACUUCAUCAAAUUGUGUGUAUCUUUGUCUAUCUAAGUUUUGCUGUGCUUCCAAGGAUCUGUUAUUUCCACCUCCGGACCAAACAAUAUCUAAACCACUUGUAAAAUGCCUUCAGUCAAACUCAUUAAAAACUGCAGUUAUUGGUAAAAAUUGAAUUCAUAGGAACGGAUAUAAAACAAAAUAAGGGAUCCCUGAUCCUUUAGCUCCGAUAAAAGCUUGAGAACACACUUGGAAUGACUAAUGGUCAAUCCGUUGUAAAAGUGGACAUAAAAUCUGAUGAAUAUGAUACCAUUUUGAUAAAGGAGAAGAAAAUUAAUCACGAAAAGAGCGACAGAGAUUAUGUGCAGAUCAGGAGCGAAUUUUGAUGGUUAAUGUACCUGCAACUUGAGAGCUCAUGAAGCUCCUCGCUGGGGGACAAAAUGACCAGUGCAACCUCUGCAUCACAAAGAACAGAGAUAGCUCAAAGGCCUUCUUGAGAACUCCCCUUCUCCUCUUUGACAAUGUCACUUGUCUACUUGUUGCACUUUCUAUCCUCUCAAUCUGAGUUUUCCCUCUCAACAUUCUUACAAUUUUAGAUAAGAAACGAGGCGCAAAAUUAAAUCCACCGACAACCCUGAAAGAGAAAUCAAUGAUUCGAUAAAGGGUCAAAGUGCAAACAACAAAAAACACUUGAUCAAGAAAAAUCUAAAAUAACCACAUGAACAAAAAAGUUUCCCAAAAAAGGAAAGAAUCCGGAUGGAGUGGUACUGAUUGACCUCAAAAAAUGGAAAACCAGACAAAUCCUUUUCUGGGAAAACUCAGAUCUGCAGGAUGGGAGAUGACAGAAGCUGGAAAAUAUUGGGUAGGCAAGACACUAGUAGAAACCCUAAAAAGAGAUUUUUCGGGCAAGAUGUACAGAGAAAUGAUAGUCUUCAAAAUCUUUACAGUCUUUUUCUAUUUCUUCUCUUUAAGUCUCAAAUCUCAACCACAGAAUAAUCAGUAAAGCGUGUGUUUUCUUUCUUUCUUGGGAUAAAACUAAACGACGUUUCAUUACCAGAUGAUUUUGUGCGUACAAUUUUGGCAAGAUUCACUGUCCGUCCAUGUCUUUUGUGUCAGCCUCCGACCAAUAACUAGGCGCCAGCUCAGCGUCGUUAAUACUGCGUCACGUGCUCGUGUACGCGUCUGGCUGCACGCGUCUGGCUGCCGCCUAUUACCACUUGUUAAUGACUCUGACUUUUUUUUUGCCAUUUGCAUUUUCUGUGGUACGAAUUUUUCUACUAUGAGAAGUGUCUCAUCGUCCUUUGUUUGGUAUGGUUAGCUGGGACCUGCCUUUCCUUUGAUUUUUUUUUUUUGCUGGGAUAAUGUAUUGGUAUAUUUUUUAAAAUCUUGACCGCGAAAAUAUUUGCAAGUCAUUUAUUAUGUUACGCUUUUCUAUAUAUUGGGACCUAUAGAACAGUGUUGUUAGACCUGGAUCAGAUCAAUCCGUCUAUUCAUGAAUCGAUCUUCUUUUGAGGUGGGUAAUAGUACAAAAUCAUUUUUGUUAAAAAUCAGUUAAAAUCGUCAAAAAUUAGUUAAACCAGUGAUCCGGCUUGACUACUUGACCUAGUUCUCAAACUUUUUUCUUCCUGUUUUCUCCAAACACCAUUUGAACUACCUAAAUUGUAAAAUUUUCAUUUAUUAAUAGGAAUAAGAAAACGCUACCCACUUAGUGCAAACAUCAAAAUUAUUCAAUUUUCUAAUUGUUUCUCUAAAUCAAGAAAUUUUCAUCUUUAUCAUUUUAUCAAUUUAUCACCAGUGAUUCUAACUUGCAUUAUAACGCCAUUUUCCCAACAAAAAUAUAUUGAAUUGGGUAUGAUGUGCUUUAAUUUAGACAUGUGUUUUGGUACGUUUUGUAUGGUUGGUUGAAUAUAAUCAAGAAUUUAAUUUUAAAAUUUCUGAAACUUAUAAAAAUAUAAAAAUAAUUAUGACAUUAUGCUGACAUCAGCUAUUUUUAGAACGGAUCAACCAAUCCGACCAAUUGACUCUUGAUUCAGUAGUUUAGCCGACUCAUUAUUCAGGGCAAGUUUAACGACAUUGCUAUAGACUGAAUAAAUGAGAAUUGAACUUGCCACAUACUCACAACGGAGAGUUGAAUGUCUUUCAAGACAAUGUGGCACCUAGAGAAGGAAUAAAGGAAAAUUGAGUAUGCCAUAUAAUAAGAAAAGUUAAAUGUAUUUCAUAAUAAAGUAGCAACAUGUGAAGGUUAAUCUGUAGUGAUAAAAUCAAAAGUUGAGAGAGGUAAAGCUAAUAAAAUAUACAUUUGAGGUUGUUGAGAAGGAUUUGAUCCAAGACUCCAAUUAGAUUGAAGGAAAGGGAAGAAAAGAAAAGGAGUGAACUCUAGUAGACAAGAAAUGAAAGUGGACUCCAUCAAUCUUGUUUGAAUUAAAUACCAAAGGAAAAGAAUGGAAACAUUGAAAAUAUUGUUUGGAUUACAGAAGGCAUGAAAAGGAAAGAAACUAUUAGCAUUUGUUGCAUUUUUAUUUAUAAUUUAAGAAUCUAAUUUGUAAACACAUAGGUAUUUUAGAACAUUUUAAAAUUUUCAUUCAUCUUAUUUUCUUUUUCCUCCAUUUUCGUGCACUUUUGGAUGUAAGACAGGCUAAUAAAAAAUAACUAGAUAUUAUCCCUUUACCUCCCUAUCCUUUACCCUCCCUAUUCAAAAUUCAAUCAAGUAUCAAAAACUUCAUUGCACCAUUUCCUUUCCUUCCUCUCUUAUCUCCUCAAAACAAAUAAUUUAAUAUUAAAAGUUAAUAUUGAUAUCCAAGAAUUAUAGGUUUUAGAUACAAAUCCUCUUAUUAAAUCCCAUCUUUUUCUUGAUAAUUUUUUUAAAUAUCUAUGAGGUACCCUUGAAUAUUUGUAAAGCGCUUUUUAAAAAUAUAUAUGAGGUACCCUUCAAUAUUUAUAAAGGGCUUAUGGGUAAAAUCUAAUUUUUAGAAGGAUAUAAUUUUGACAUCUUAAGUAAAUAUAGCGCAGUUUAUUUCAUCGCCCGUAUUCUUUUAUCAGCCAGUGACCCUAUUAACAUCUAUUGCCAGUGAAAUGCGCACCCAAUCUUUUGUAUCAUAAAAGCAUUUUGCAUGUUGUAACUUUUCGGAUACUGUCUUGUAAUUGGAAACUGAAAAAUAUAAAAUUGUUUCUUUUCUCAUUCAUUGGAGUAUUUACUAGAGGAGAUUUAACUACUUAAUCGUGGGAUGAUUUUUAAAUUUAAGAAAUUAAAAAAUGAGAAGAAGACAAAAUAUAACACGUGGCCCUUAAAACUUCUAUGGAUUUCCGUCCUAAUCUUGUAUUUUUUUUAUUAAUUUUUUUCUUUAUAAAACACUGCUUCCCUUAUUCUAUGACGAAGAAAAAAGGGCAAAAUUUAAUGCUACUAUAUUUUGAUAAUUUUAAAGGUAAUUCUAUAAAAUUAGCUUUGAACGGCAUAAUAAGGCAGUAGGCUAAUAGGAUUUUAUAAUCAAAAAGCAUGUAGCCAUACACAACUCUGUUCUCAUCUUCCAAGCAUUGUGUCCCAAACAUUGUCUGAAGAUUGGACCAACACAUAGAAGAGGAAUGACCAAUUGCAAUACAAGUAGCUUAUUCAAUGCAUCGUCCAUCAAUAAAGAAGUGGCUUUUGCCUCAUAAUAAGUUCAGCACAGCAUGAAAUAACAUGUCUUUUACUAAAAGAAAAGUAAGAUAUACUACAAAAGAAGUAAAGAAAACAAAUUAUACAAAAUCAAGUAGAUUGAUAAAUUGUUUAUUUUUGCUUCUUUUUUUUUUGACAGUUUUAACGAUUAGGAAGUCCGAUAAACAGCUGCGUUUCUACCUCUUUUACUUGUUCCAGUGAUGAGAAUUGUUGACCAAUCGAUAGUUCCAAUUGUCGCUCUUCAUACUGCAAAUUCAUUUUUCGAAAAAAAAAAUAAAUAAAUUACCAAUAAAUAGCUUUGGCAUAUGCAAACUAAACAUUAAUGGUAGUAAUACAGAGCUUAAAUCCUCAACUUUUGAUUACAUUAUUGUUACCAUUAAAACUUAUACAAUAUGUGAAUUUGAAAUAAAGGUUUGUAGCUUCAGACCUUAUCUAAUACCCUUUUUUUUUUUUUUUUUUUUUUUUUUUUUUCAAGUUUUCCCUUCCUUAACAACGUUAUGAGUAACAAGAGUGACUUACCGUUUCUCGUAAUUCCGCAUUUUUCUUUCUGAGAAUUUUCCCCUGAAUUUGACACAGAUAUGCAAAGAAUAUUGACACCAUGCCAAUUAGCAUGAAAUGAAUAAACUUUAUUUCGGACUAAAAUGUGAAUGAAAGAAUAAGCAACUCCUGAAGCUUCAAAUGCGUAUUUUACCUCUUCUUUCAGCUGAUUUAUUCGCUCGCAAAACAAUAGGAUCUGCAGAAGAAUUGAACAUUCGAUUUUGACCAUUAAAUUCUACAUUCUGAUCACACCAUUGUAGAGAUGCCUAUUGCAAAACGUACCUUUCUUGACCUAAUGAUGCUUAAACUUUUCUCCAACUGACGUUCUACCUGUUGCAACUCACCAAUAGAGGAGGAAUCUAAACCAUCUCCCAAGAGCUUUCUGCUACAUACAAAAUUUAUGUUGUUUUUAAUCACCCAAAAAGGUAAGAAAUUCAUGUUGUUAUACGAUAAGGAUGAGCUCUGCUUAAAACUUAAACAAGGUGUCGAUGUUAGGACAACCACCGUGUAGUUUCUUCAAGAAGCUCAAUUUUUUUCCUCAGGAUUGCAACCUCUUCUUCAAAAUGCUGCACAAAUAAGAGUAAGCUCAGCACGGAUCAAAAGAUUUAGCAGAAUAAAUUCGUGGACAAGAUCUUUAAGGCAAAGAAUCAGUUGGCACUUGGCACUGAUCCAUGAUCUUGAAUGAGAUUCUCAGAAUCAAGAAAUCAAGUGAAUGUAAGACAUUACGGCUAUUCAAUAUUAGUACAGAAGGAUCUUGACUGCCAUUCCGAGAAAUCAAGAAAGUGAAUGCCAAGAAAAUGCUUAUUUUGGACUUUGAACGCAUUUCAUAGGGGCUUUCAUACAACUAAUAUUUGGUACCAGGACGCAAUCGAACCUUAAUACCCCCUGUUCAAAAAAUUCAAAAGGUAAUUUCACCUGUGAAAAUGGUGCAUAAAACUCAACUAGAUGACAUUCUUCACUAAAAACAAAACAAGACAAACAUCACACAAAUGGAAAACACAUAAAGCACAGCUACACAAGAAAUUAACUCUUUAGUGAAGAGGACAUGCAAAAAGCACAUAAAUCCAGUCAAGAGGGGGGGGGGGGGAAUGAGGAAGAUGUUUCUGAAUACGAAACAUAUUCCCUGAACAUAUUUAAAGAUACCAACUUAAACCCAGAAGCAUAAAAAGACACAGCUGCUACUGCUUGGAUGAUCAGUCUCUAGGAAACAACGGCAAGGGAAAAACAGUUGCAGCCAUAGUUUUACUAACAACUGCAGCAGCAACUCAUAUGAAACAAGAUUUACCGGAAUAUGCUGAUCAGUUUCUGACCUGUAAACUUUCUAGAUCCAUUUGUUUGCUUGUAGGUCGAUUCUUGAUACUCUUCUGGUAGCGCUCUAUUGUACUUGUGGCACUAAAAUCAUUUGAGGGAACCACCAUGAGGUCAAAGGCACAAGUUGCAAAUACUAAAUUAUGUCAACAGAAAUUUGUUUAAUGACAAAAAGGCAAUCAAUGAUUUGAUUCAGUUUCCAUUCGGCAAGACCCAUAUCCUUCGAAAUUCAAUAUCCAAAUGCGUAUGUGCAUAUAUUUAACGCGGGGAAAAUGCUGUGCUGCCUACCAAGAAAUGAAUGUCAAAUUUUGUUUAAACGAUUGGUACUUGGGAUGUGCAGCUCUCAAGUCUUCCUGUGAAUGACAAGAUGUACCCACUUAUCAUCCAAAAAACUAAUUUCAUCAUAACUGGGAAAAAAUUUGCUGUAGUUACUUAACAAAACUUAUCACUAACAUAACAAAAUUUGCCACUCAUGUUUUCAGUGUCUUCAAGGCAUCACAAAUUUAUCCUUAAUACCAAUACAUAUGUAUUUACAUUCAUUUUACCUUUUAAGGCUUCCUUAGGAUUUCUUCAAAUGAGCUAAUUAUGGUUUUUAGUUAAAAUUUCACGUUAUUUCAAAGUGUUAUCUUACUAUUUCUAGCUUAUUUAAAGUUUAAAAUAAUACUAUAUUUUAGUAGCUUUGUUGAAUGUAUUGGAACUUCUAAAAGGUUCUAUGUGAAAAUCAAAACCCGCCUAAACAAAGUGCAGUAAAGACAUUAAUCAACCCUUCUGACUUUCUUAUUAAAAAUAAAAAACCACAUUAUAUGCAAUUGCAUGAAAAAAAUGUGAUCCAAUUUAGUGAAAAAACUAUUAAAGUAUAAUAUUAGAUUUCACUUGAUGCUAUUUUAUUUGAAUAUUACAUUUUUUGAAGAUUACAGAGAAUUAAAACUGAGUAUCUAUGAUGUUAAAUUCAACUAAAUAGGGGAGGUGAAUCAAAUCUAGUCUGUCAUUUAGUUUAAACUGAGAGUAUCCUUCACCAUCUGAAUAGAGGAUUUCAAUAAAAAUAAUAUUUUAACAAAAAAAAAUCUGAAUAGAGGAUUUCAACUUGCAAAUUCUAUUUAUAUGAAAAGUAAAGGUACAACCAUGCACUUAAAAAUUAACAUGUUCUUAAGCAUGGAAACUCAUUCUUCUUCUACUUUCUGCUGUCGUUUAACUGGACAACUAGUAACAAGAAAUAUGCUAAUAAUAGAAGGAGCCAAAUGAGUUAAAAAUCACACUAGUGCAAUUAAAUUUAUCAACGCACUAUUAUUCACGGAAUAAUUUUAAAAUAACGUUUCUCAUCCUGGUUCCUGAUACUGUGUCAGUUCUCUGAUGUAUCUAGAGACUUUGAACUAGAUUUUUUCAUCCCUAGGUUUUGUUUAUUUUCUUGUUUAUCAAUUCUCCGAGAGAUCUAUGAACUUUUCUCAAGAAAGUUACUUCUUGUCGUCUCCCUCAAAUGUAAAUCUAUCUUAUCUCUUCUUAUAUAUAUAAGAAGAAAGCCAAGUUACUGUAGCAGUCCAUCCUUUUACACAUUGCAUAUAUUUUUGACAAGUGGAAUCUUGGCCAUUUUAGCUAAAUUUUCUUUCCCUUUUUUGAUUCAAUUGGGCCAAAAGGAUUAAAAUAUUUUUUCUCCUUUAGAAAAUCAACUCCAUCUCUUCUUCUUCUUCUUCUUCUUCUUGCAGCAACUGUUGUCAUCCUUCACCUUUUUUAUUUUUUAUUUUUUAAAACUAAUCUAACUAAGAUUGUUGCCAUGUUCUUUUUUUUUUUCGUCGAGAUGAUUAGCUACUUAGCAAAGAGAAGUCUUUUUUUUUUAUCCCAUUUUACAUUUUCAUUUCUUCCUUUUUUUUUUCUUCAUCUCUAUUCUCUCAUGUUUGCUCUAUUCUUCAGUCACAAUGUUAUAGUCAACUGGCAUUUGUUUGUUAAAUUUAUAGGAUGACGUUGUUAUUUGGUAUUUCUUCAUGGAUAAAAGGUGAAAUGUUAAAAUAUGUAAAAAGAUCUUGGAAUGCAUUUUAUACCAGUGAUCAUUUUCUAUGAAGAAUAAAACAAAAAUUCAUCCUUUUCUUUUCUUCUCCUAGGAUUUGAUUUCUUACUUGACAUUUUUUCCUUUUCUUUGUUUUUUGGUUAAAUUUUGUAAUUAUCUACAAUUUUAUGUAUUUUUUUAGGAGAAAAGAUAUAUCAUGUGAUGCUUCCACCAAGAUAAAUCUAGCUAGGCGUUCCUCUACCUCUGUUUUUCUCUUUUUCUUUCUUUCCCCCAUCCUCUUUUGUAAUUACCUUAUGGUCUAUUCAAUUUAAUUAAAGGAUCCAACAAGAUUUUGUAUAUAUUUAAACUAAUGUUAAUUUUUGUUUUUUUUUAAUUAGUCAAGUGCUAUAGUUGGUGAUAUAAGGAUUGUUUGCUAAUUUGUUUGUUUUUUAUUUUUUGUUUUUUCAAUUAGUGUUUGUUAAUUUUUGUACAUACAAGGAUUGUAGUUGGUGAUGGAAGUCACAAUUGAGGCUUUCAGCCUAGAGUGUGACUUGACAAAAAAUUGUUGGAAAAUUCAAUUUUGAUUAGGAAGAUGUUUUUGCAAUAAAAAAAUGGUUUAGUUCUAAUUUGUAUAUGUAGAUUUGGAAAUGUAACAAUUCAUAUUUUUAUCUAACCUUGCUAUUUAUAUUCUAGAGCUGCAAGAUAAUGUUGUUACCUUUAGGCGGGAUUUAAAUAGAUGAACUAACUUCUUCUAUCAAAAGAAAGAAAAAUGUGAAUGUUUAUAGUAAGCUAUAUUGAUGUUGAAACUUGUGCCAUGUCUUAGUGGCUUUCUAAACUUUUUCUCAUUAUUAAGUACUGGAAGCAUUAUGACUGCUUUUGGAUUAGUUACAACUAAAACUAUACUACUAUUAAUACAUCAAUGCACUUAUAGUGUAUUAAUUCUCUCUCUUUUUUGGGUAUCAUCAUAAUAGUGGUUCAAAAAUCUUUAUUCAAAUCACAAUAAAUAGGGGGUUGACUUUAUAGAUGGAAUUUCUCUUCACAACAAAUUUUGAGGGAAAUUUUGUUUAUACUCCAUAUUUUGUUAAUUGUGUUCCUACAAUAAAUAAAAACUAUAUGAUAAAAAUAAUAAUAAAAGUGUGAUUAAUAAAAAUGAGAGUUCAAAUAACAUUUGUCAAUUUUAAUGGUUUUGAUGCUCAAUUUUUCUUCUAUAUUUCUAUUCAUUCAUCAUGUGCCAAAAUAAUUUGAUGUUAUAUGUUCGACUAAUUCCUAGGGGCCCAAGCUGUGCUUCGCACAAUUUAGAUACCUCUAGUAUCUCACAAAUAAGGCUAAUAUGUCCUAUAUUUGAGCCCUUAGGUUGACAUUUGGCAGUAGAUUUUUUCAUUAAGACCAAGCGAGUAGUUGAAACCUAUAAAGCAAAGACAAGCACCCCAUAUUUACAAUGGCGGAGUUAGAAAAAUUCACUAAAAGGGCCCAAAUAAAAGGAAUUCACUAGUGUCUAAUGAACUCAUUAAAUUACUAAAGUUUUUUCUUACCUUAUAACCCCUCAAAACAAUGGUUUUAGUUCUUGUGGUUAUUAAACAUACGGCUUAUACAUGUUAUUUUAUUAAAAGUUCUUAUCAAUAAACACAUGUACAUAUUGACCUUCUGCAAAUUAGUUAAAAGAAAAAAGAUAAAUUGUUCUAAAAUUUAAUAGCUUUCUAAGAUCAGUUACAGCACAUCAACAAAUUACUAAUGUAAAACAAACUUUUUUGAAAAUAUCAUAUUUAUUAUUCAUUUUUUAGCCGAGUAGGGGCAUAUGUGCCCAUUGACAAUAUGUAGAUUGGCCCAUAAUGUAGAAUCCAGUCAUCUCAACUCUCAAUAUGCCGUUGCAAGAUAUACGUCUCUCAAAGUCAUUACAUUCGUUUGGGAUGAUAUGAGAUGGAGAGAAGAGAAAACAAAAGAAAAAAAUAUAUCUAUGUAUAUAACCAAAAGGAGAGAGAGAGAGGGAGAGAGAGAGAAUGGUUAAACCUUAAAGAAAACUUUCUAGGGUAAAUGAUUUCGUUUAUCCCUCACUAUUAACUCAUCAUCUUAUUUCAUCGCUCAAGUUUAUAAACAACCUAUUAUGUUCUUUGCCUUAUGAAUUAGGUUUCAAAAGGUCCGUAGAAAACACUCCGUCCAAAUUGAUGUAAUGGACGAUAAUCACGGAAGAAACACACGAGUUCUCCAUGGGCAACAUAUGGAAAAAGUUAGACGUCUAGAUAUGGAACCGUAAAUUGACCACAAUAGACCAAGUAAAUGGGAGGGAAAGAAUCCAGCCACCUCUUGCAUUAUUAGGGCAAACUUUGAUAACCAACUUUAUUUUUGCUAAAUAAUGUUGAGAGAGAGAGAGAGAGAGUGUGUGUGUGAGAGAGAAGAAGAAAAGAAGAAGAAGAAGAAGGAGCAAAUGACCAGAGUUAAGUUAUAGACUCAAUAGUGAGAGAGAAAAAGAGAGAGUACAUAGGUGCAAUGAUUGGCAGGUACACUGAAAUAGACCAGAAGACUGAUAAAUCUGAUGAGAGCCUCAAUCAUUACCCUCAAGUCAAUUGAAAAGCUUAAAACCAUAUUUGCAAGUAAUUUCACCUAUCUUCCCUCUCCAUCUGAUCUCUUGCUCUUGCCAUUUGAUAUGACUCUCUCUCUUUACAUAUACAUACAUAUAUAUGUGUGUGUGCAUGUAAAUGUGAGUAUGCGCGCGUACGCGCACACAUAUAUAUACAAACUUAGAAAAAAUGAAGUUUAUUAUCAAAUUUUGUCCUGGUAAUGCGAUAGAUGGCAAGUGCCUUUCCCUCUUAUUUACUUAGUUUGUUGUGAUCAAAUUAAGGGCAUACGUUUAGGCUUUUAUAAUUUUUUAUCUAUGCCCUUGGAGAUCUAGUUGAUUGGUAUCUAUUUACUUAGGCACGUUUCAAAACUCAAUAUGUAAUUUGAAGAACAAAAAUAGGUUAUAUUUAAACUAGAGAGACAAAAUAGAGUCAUGAGAUAAACUUGAAGGAUGGAUGAGGUUAUUUACCCAAACUUGUCAUAAAAGUAAAGAGAAAUGAGAAAAAAAAGUGAGAAGAGGCCAUUAGUUCAAAACCCAGAAAUUGUCACAUUUAUCAUCAGUACAAGACCCAAUAAGUUUAAAUUUGAGAGUAAAUGUUCGAAUUACAUGUAUUAAUAAUUUUGCUCUUUGCCUUUAUCCUCUACUACGCCCAAACAAUAUACGAAAACAAGUAAUUCUUUCCCUUUUCUUCCUUUUCUUCCCCUUUUUUUCCUUCUUUUGUGUUCUUUUCUUUCCUACGCCCUCAAGUCGGCAAUAGUAACUCAAAGUUUCGUGAGAUAAAGGUCAUCCACAUUAUGCAGAUAUAUGAAUGAGGUAUUUCUGUGUGUUGUUUUAUGGGUGAGGUAUUUCCAUGUUGUGUAAAGUUAUAGUGUAAAACAACUAAAAAUUCUAUUAUUGGAAGAGACUGGACACUUCCUAAAAGGAUACUUAGCUCAAAGUAUCCCAACUCUUGUACUAUAGCAUAGAGAGGCACUAGUCCUUAACGCAUGACCAUCAUGCCGACCUAAUAUUUUACUGAGGAAUUCCAUGUCCAAAUUGCUGUUGGUAUGGACUUCAAGUUUGAAAAAAAAAAGGGAUUCCAAAUAACUGUUGGUAUAUAUAAUUUACAUCAAAUUGCUUUAAACUCUGAGUCAAUGAGAAAUCUUUAAAUCUUCAGAACUUAUAGAAAUUUCAAAAAACACUCCCUACGUAGUCGAGUACUCAAUAUUUAUUCCAAUAUGAAGGAUGCCCAAAUUCAUCAUAUAUAAAAAUUCAAAAACUGGAUUGGAGCAAUAUUGGGGAACCAAAUUUGACUUAGUGAUUAAUACCUUUUUUCUUGAUUCAAAAUAGGGUUUGCGGUUCAUUAAUGCCUCUAACUUCCAGCCAUUUCCCUUCUGAAAGGUUAAAUAUUUGUCAAAUUGUGUCCUUCAAAAAGUUUCUUUCAACAAGUUAGUCUUUUAGCAAUAAAAUAACCGUUAUUUCCUUCUUAAAGAUGAGAGUGAGGCAACCCAAGUGAAAUUUGUACCAACACAGAUAAUUAAACCAUGAAAUACGUCCCUCUUGUAGAGAAAAUUAAGCCAAUGGCUACUAAUUAUAGAAAAGUCUUGGAUCCUCAAUUACAUCAAAUGAUACUGGCAUAUCGUCUACACUAAAAGUAUACAUCUCAUUGGAACUUAAAAGUUUAGCAUGACAUGUUAGUUUAAGAAUUUAGGAAAGCAAAGCUUCAAAAUAUGAGUAUUACUAUCCUACUUGGACAUUCUAAGAUGCAACGUAUUGCUCUAAACCGUGAAUCCAAUAACAAGAAUGCAUUCUCUAAAAUUCAUGAAAGUUCGGAGGAGUCUCAUCAUUCCACCAUGUGCUUCAAACGAGCCAAUGCUAAGCUUACAAUAGGAUGGCCAAAUUUGACCUAGCUAAAAGAUAAAAGUUUCAUAAUGUGCAUAUGUGAUGUGACCUUUACGACACAAAAAGAAGAUAGAAUAAGCCAAUUAUUUCCAUAGAUGUCUAAAUUAAUAGAUUGUCUUCCGCGUUGGGUUCUUUUUUUCACCAUUAAUGCUGCACAGUAUCCCUAUUUGUCUCUCAAGUGAUGCUGGAUAACUUCAUAUUCAUGGACAAAAUCUUGUCAUACAUCUACCUUUUUAUUGGUAGUUUCAACCUAAAAACGUAUAAUGCUGAAAUGAGUUGUUUUUUGGGACUUAACUGCACUAGGUUAAAAUUGAGAAAUGACCUCAAAAAUUUAAGAAAUAGUGCGCUACUAUUUAGAAGUGAAGAUCACCAUUGGUGAUGUAUUUCAGGAUUCAUGGAUAUUUGAAAUUAAAUAUCCACUACCACGUAUUUGUAAUACUAGAGGUUAAUGAACAUAUUUCAACUUUGACUAGUUAAACAUGCAACAAUUAGUUGUAUGUAGUACUAAUAAAUAUAUAUUUAGACAAAUUAGUUAUAAGAACCUGCAACUCUUAGAUUCCACAAUCUGGAACCUUUCAACGCUUUGCCCCAGAGAUCCCGAGGCAUGACUACAAAGUUUGGUUGUAAGAAAUAAAUAAGGUAUUAUAAUUUGGUUAUCGUAUUGGCAUCUACUAUACUCUCUAAAAUCCUCGAUGAUGGCUCAAUCUUCAGUUAAUAUACAUGUUUCCUUAGCUCUUUGGCCUACAGUAACUUUUUGCUCCAUUUUCUUGUCCCUUUUGCUUCGAAGCACUACUAUUUAUAGUUGCUCAUAGUGUGAUGAAAUCUGCAUACUAUUCUUGUUUUGUUUGAGAAUCUACAAUGUCAUUAGAAAUGAAGUCAAAGAAGCCAAAAUGUGAGAAGAUUACUAUCCCUACAUCCAAUAUAGGUAGUUUAAGAGGAUUUAUUUUGUUGUUGGCCUCCUUGAGAUCAAAGUACACUAUUCGCAUUGUUUCAACGAGGAAGCUAAAUAAGAAAUAAUCACCUAUUUGUUCUACUCUUAUAGUAGCUAAGAUGGAAACUUAGAAUUGCUGGAGAUUUGGCGUCCUUUUUGUAGUUUUAUGAAAGAGGAAAUUUGGCGUCCUUUUGUAGUUUUAUGAAAGAGGAAGCCCAUGCAUUUGAAUCGUGUUAAGUUAAUAUUUCAGGGUUCAAUAACACAUCACCACGGUUGACUAUAAUUAUUAGUUUCCUUCUAACCAACAUAUAUAACUUGGUCUAUGGUCAUAUAUCCCUUGCCCUCAGAUUAUGUUGACUGAUCCCUUUGAAAUGCUUCAGUAUAGUAAUGUUAAUAAUCAUCUUUGCUGUAGCCAAAAUUAAAAAAAUCUUCUUUCUUGUACGCUGAUUAAUAUGCAGGCUAAUCAUGUGUCUACUUGAUUAUAAACACUAGGAGACAAACCCUUAAUUAACUUGAAGAAAAGAGAUAAAGCUAACUUUUAGGAAAUGAGAUCCUCAUGGUAAUAAUGCAUAUAGGCUGGUGGGGUUGGACAUUUUCAAAGAACCAGUACAAAAGCACAACACCUUCUCGCUUCAUUAGAGACAUGGUACCAUUUCCGCUUGUGUUACAGAUAGACUAAACCUUUUAUUUUGGUUGUAGAAAGACAAGUAUGACAGUACAACCCCUUAUAGUCUAUUUAAAUAAAGCACUUCAAGAGCUACCACGAAAAGCUACGGCUUGUUUUGCUCUAGGAGACAAAUGCUGUGUCUCAUAAGUUUUGCUCUAGGAGAAUAUCUCAUGCUACUGAUUUUUUAUUUUCUUUAAGUUGACAACUUGACAGAUAAAAUCAUCAAGAAAAAAAAAAAAGAAGUGCUGCAGAAUUACAACUAUUGAUGCAUUUGUUUCUCCCACUCUUCCUCAGAUUGUCUGUAUCUUGUCGAUCUAAUUUUUGCGAGCUUUUAAGGAUCUAGUGUUUCCGCCUCUGGACCAAGUAAUAUCUAAAUCCCGUUAAAGGAGCAAAGUAGGAUGCUAAGAGGGGGAAAAUGCCUUUACUCAAACUCACUAGAAACUGCACUUAUUGGUAAAAGUUGGGUUUCAUAGGUAUGGAUAUAAAACAAGAUAAGGGAUCCCUUAGCUCUGAUAAAAGCUUGAGAACAUACUUGGAAUGAUUAGUGGUCAAUCCGUUGCAAAAAUGAACAUAAAAUUUGAUGAAGAUGACACCAUUUUGAUGAAGGGGAGGAAAAUUAAUAACGAAAAAGAGAGAUAGAUAGAGAAUAUGAGCAGAUCAUGUGCAAAUGUUGAUGGUUAAUGUACCUGGAACUUGAGAACUCAUAAAGCUUCCCGCUGGGAGAGAAAAUGAUCAGUGCAACUUCCGCAUCACAAAGAACUGAUAGCUCAAAGGCCUUCUUGAGAAGUCCCUUUCUCCUCUUUGAGAAUGUCACUUGUCUAGUUGUUGCAUCUUCUAUCCUCUUAAUCUGAGUUUUCCCUCUCGCCAUUCUUAAAAUUUUAGAUAAGAAAGGUCCAAAAUUAAAUCCGCCAACAACCCUGAAAGGGAAAUCAAUGAUUCCAUAAAGAAUCGAAGUGCAAACAACCCAGAAAAACAUUUAAUCAGGAAUUAAAAAUCUAAUAUAACCCCAUGAACAAAAAAAAAAGUUUCCAAAAACAGAAAGAAACAGGAGGGCAUGGAAUUGAUUGAUCCCAAAAAUGGGAAAUCAGACAAAACCUUUUCUGGAAAGCCUCGGAUCUGCAAGAUCGUAGGUGAGAAAAACAGGAAAAAAUUGGGUAGGUAAGACACUAGUAGAAACCCUAAAGAGAGAUUUUUCAGGCAAGAUGUACAGAGAAAUGAUAUUCCGCAAAGUCCAUAGUCUCUUUUUAACCCCCCCGGCCCCCUCUUAAGUCUCAAUUUCAACCACAGAAUCUAUGCAAAACAUAAUUGAUUAAAAAAGGACCGGCAAGGUCCAAAAACUUUAUCCCUUUUCUUCUUUUGGUACAAGGACGGCGAAAUAGACCCAUCCAAAAAAGGAACAAUGGAGAAUAAUAACUGUACAACAUAAAAUUUACCGUUUUUGUUAAAAUAAAAUAUUUGUACAACAGCAAGUGGAAAUUCUUGGGAACCAAUUUGUUUGGAUAGGGUAUUAUUUGAAAUAUUAUUUAGAAUAAUUACUGUAGCACUUUUUGUGAUGUGAUGUAUGUGAGAUAAAAAGGUGGUUGGGAAUAUAAAAAGGUGAGUUGAGAAAUGUGUUUAUGAUGCAAGUGAAAUAUUAUUUGAGAUUUUGGUUUGUUUGGAUAGUGUAUUAUUUGAAAUAUUAUUUUGGAAUAAUUACUUAGCACUUUUUGUGAUGUGAUGUAUGUGAGAUAAAAAGUAGUUGGGACUAUAAAAAGGUAGGUUGAGAAAUGUGUUUGUGAUGCAAGUGAAAUAUUAUUUGAGAUAAUUUUGGUAUCCAAACACUAAUUUUAGUUAUUUUAGUUACAGAUGCCGAGGGAACCAGUACAUAUCAAAGUGAAUGUAAGUUUUCAUGCUGUACAUUCGUGGAUCGACAGAUAAAGCAAAGACCCGAGGUUGCCUGUGAUCUUCAUAAGUCAAAGGUAAAUUUUUAGCAUUUUCCUAUGUAAGUUUUCUGGCAAAUCUCGAGGCAUUUGGCCCUCUUCUUAUAUUAAAUUCCUUUUACCGAAUUCUUGUUAAUUGCUCUUUCCACAAAUUGAUUACUGAUUAUUCUUUUUCCUUUGUUGGUGUAGUAAUUUUUGUUGGUAUAUGAAUUACUUCAAGGCUAAACGGAGCAGGUUACUGGGUCUUUUUGUUCAUUGAGCACUAGGGCUAGGUAAUAAGUACAGUUCAGCCAAAAAUGUGCCAAAAUUUUUGCGACAACCAGCUUUAAAACAAAUUCGGGACUCUCUAGUUGAACUGUUGCUCAGUUCAUCUAAUUUUAUGAAUCAUAUAGCAUUUGAUAUAAAAUGAUAAAAGUUUGACAUAAACAUGAAUUUUGUUAACUCGUACAAUUAAUAAUUCAUCAUUAAAUCAAAGUUGUAUUAAUUUGCACUAAGCAUUUAAGAUUUACAAUAAUUAGAACCAACUGAACAAAAUCAACUAGGAUGGCCUCUGAUCCCAUGAAAACGUGUUAAAAUUUUCUAUAGAAUUAUUGGAACUAGAAGCAAAGUAGGGUAGCCCCCUAGAGACAUUAUUAGUCUUUUGCCUCAUAAAGGAGUAGAGUCUAGAUAGAUCCAUUAUGACAUUAUUGAAAGUAGGUAAAAACAAGGGAUAAUAUUAGAAACCUCCCUUGAGGUUUAUCUUAAUAUCACUUGGCACCCCUGAGGUUUUUGAAAUAUCACUUAUCUCCCUUAAUAAUUGUAAAAAGACUAUAUUAACCCUCACUUGACACAUAAUUCACAUAUCAAAUAAAUGAAGUUUAAAAUUUUUAUAAAAAAAGCCACUUUCUUCUCUUUCCCUUUUUUCCAUCAUUCUCUCUUAAUCACCAAUUUAGUCCUCAAACUAUUGCACUAAAGCCGAUUUGGUCCCUUAACAUUUUAUCACAUGCAUUAAGUCCUUUAACUAAAAUUCUUGUGCCAAUUGAGAACCUAUACGGUGUCGCCACCUAAAACAUAUGUUUCUGUACCCAAACCAACGGCGAGGCGGGGCUUUUUUAGAAGUAAAAAAAUAUGAUUUUCUAUGGGAAGUAAGAUAUCAACCAUUUUGGGAUCAAAUUGGGAGCAAAAGAGUAGCGAGAGAAUACAGGAAGAAAUUAGGGUUCUUCCACCUAUUCCCAAUUCAAGGUUACAACUAAAAUGUCUUCAAGUUCAUCCUUUGAAGUGCAUAACAGAUAGAGAAAUUUGGAUGCGGGAUUGUCAAGCUCAGCUACAAAUCGAUCUUCAAGGAAGGAGGCAUAUGGAAUUUCACAUGUUGGAGGAUUUAGUCGAGGAAAAGCUGAAUACUACAAUGGAGAGGAAAUCGUGAAGUGCCAUUGCCAAGAAUCCUGCAGAAUAGUGUCUUCUUGGACUGCAGCAAAUCCAUCAAGAAGGUUCCAUAGAUGUAGAAAUUACGAUGUUAUGAGACCAGCCAAAUGCUUAAAUUUUAAUAAUUUUCAUAAUGGUUGGGGUGUAUUUAUUUAAGUUUUAUUACUAAUGAUGGAUUAAUUUUGAAUGCAGACAUCUCAUUCUUGCAAAUUUUUUUAUGGUACGAUCCGCCCUUGUCAGAGUAUACAAAGAACACAAUAUCUAAAUUGUUAAGGGAACUAAGGAAAGCCGAAGGAGACAACAAGGAAAUGAGGAUAGAAAUUCAAAUAUUGAAAAAAAAAGCCCAGAUAUUGAUGUUGGCACUGGUAAGAGGCUGCAUCUUAUUAAUGGCAGUAUGGGUUCACAAUGCAAGAAGAAAACCCGUGGAACUGGGACUUAAAAUGUUGCAUUAAAAAUAGUAUAAUUGCUGGAAAAAAUAGCCUUUAGUAGGUUUAAGCUGAUUAGGUAUGUUGCUAGAAAGCUGUGCAGGUGCAAACUUGUGUAAGGCCAAGUUGGUAUACAAUGUAAUGUUCUUGUUUGUAAUGAUGCAUUUGUUUAUUCUUGUUCCUGGACAUGAUAAUUUAUAUGGUAUAUAAGGCCAGGUUGGACAUCAUAACAUUAUAUUGUGUUAAAAUUUGAAAAAAUUUCGACGGAGUUUCACCUUAAAAAUGAACAAUUUCACCUACCAACCAAACUACCAUUUUAAUACAUACACAAUAUAUAAAACUAAAAGCAUGAAUACAUGUGGUCAACUACAUUUCCAGCCAGUAACAAAAGUACUCAUUCACUGAAGAAGUCAAUUGUAACUUAAUUUAACAAAAGUUAAACACAAUUCUGGGUUUAACCAUGUUAACAAAAGCUAUACAAAAUGUGGGUUGACCCAAAGAACAGCAGCACCACGAAAUUCAGUCAUGCUCUAUCAUCUUGGACAACUGCCAGUAGCUAGUUACAAUUUUAUCCUUUUAGAGACAGGUCCAGCAAUAGUGAAACUAAGUAGAGCUUCUUCAUCGCAGAUCCAUGGCUAGUCAAGUUGUGUUAUUCCCGGAUCAUUGGCAUCAUCCGGUUCAUCUAUAAGUCUAUGAGCCUGCAUAUGAUCAACAAGUAUUGGUCAAUGGAAUAACUUACGGAGCAAAUGUUAAGUUCAUUUCGAUGCUAAAAAACCUACUUUUUGCUUGGCUCUUCGCUUUUUCCCAACUGAUUCAACAUACGGACCAUAAGCAUCCAUUUUCGCCUUCCUUAUUCUCCAACCUUGUGCUUGUAUAGAAGGACAUGUCUUUUUGUUAUGCCCUGGAGCUCGACAGAAGUAGCAUUUGAUUUUCUUCUUUCGUUCAGCAACUUCAGUGGAAAGUACUAGUUGUUGCUGUGCACUUGAAACUACAAAGUAAGAAAUGAAAAAAAAUAUUGAAUUUAAGUUAAGUAUGUCCUUAAAUUAAAUGAAACAUAACUCAAUUAUGACUAGCCAUAUGUCCUCAAAUUAAUUAACCAUUUUCUUUAUGAACAGCAGCUUGUGUGUCCACUUGACAGCCUUCACCAGGUUGUUGUUCUCCAGCAACAGGUUGUUCACCCCUUGGUUGUGCUUGUUGAUAUGGAAAAAAUUUAAAAGUUAGAGAAAACAGCAAAGGUUAUAUGAAUUUUGGCAGAAUAAUAGUGUUGAAAAAUAUGUAGAAGAGGACGUAUACCAACCUGGCUAUGGUCUAAGUUAGUCCCUACAACAUCAGAGUGGCUCUUGGGAUGACUAGUUGGACAUGUUCUUCGAUUGUGACCAUACCCUUGACAUUUGCUACAUUUGUUACUGUUGAGAGAAGGCCCCCUUCCAGUGCCAUGGCAAACUAAAUGCUCGGUUGGUAUAACCAAUGGACAUUUCCUUAUUGUAUGUCCUUUUUAUGACAUUUUGAGCAGCUUAGUUUAGUAAUUCCCACUCUUGACAGCUUAGUCACUCCAUUACUACUUUUUCGACGUUCAUCUGGUUCCCUCCUUCUUACUUUUUUUGGCCUAUCAGAAAGUCUCAACUUCUUGGGUGGUGAUAAGUGACUAAUUUACGUAAUAAUUGUAUGACAUUUUAUAUUAUUUUUAGUCACUUUGGUUAUAUUAUUGGAAGAAUAUGAAUCAUUUUGGCUAUAAUUGGUGAAAAAUGCUUUUAAGUGAUUAAAUGAGGUUUUUAUCACUUUUUACUUGGAUUUUGUGUAUUUUGACAGUUUUGACACAUUUUCGUAUUUCGGCUAUAACUUGAGUUACAAUGAUCGGAUUGGGAUGAUUCUUGAACCCAUUUGAAGAUAAGAGAUAGAUCUACAACUUUGGUGAAGACAUCUAAAUCCAGUUUGAAGGUUUUCCAGGUCAAAAUGCCGAAUUACAAUAGCAAAUUUCUACUGGUUGAAACUGGAACAGGGCAAUGAGCAGGCAAGGGUAUUUCAGUCAUAUCUCAGCCUACACAGAUCCAAAUGAGGUGAUUCUUGAUGCAUUAGAACGAUAACUCAAAUGGCUACAACUUUCGUGUUUUAGACAUGAGCUGUUUCAGCCUCUAACAUCAAGAAAAGAUUGGUUGAAGUUGGGCCAAAAACAGAGCAAGUGAUCCACACUCGGAUCCACUAUUCAUCCGAACCCUCGGUUGUUUCUGGGUUAGUGGAUCCGAGGUACUGUAGCAGCUCGGAUCACUGGUCAGAAAAGGCUGCUCUGUACGCGUAAAACUCAAUUUCACCUCCACCAACUCACAUUGGAUGCUAGACAUGUGAGAAACAUUCCCAGCUGUAAAAGGGAGAUGUAAUCCUCAUUUCUUGACCACCUUUCAUCAUUAAAUAGCCAAAUGCAUUGCAAAAAUAGGAAUGGGGAGUUCAUAGCAGAAAAUAGAGAGUGAGCUACGGGAGAGCUUGAAACUGCAGAAAUGUAACUCUUUCAUCUCCCUAGUGUUAGUUUAGCUUAGUAUAGAGUAGUGUAGCUUUUCCAUUCUUGUUUAUUAUCUAGAUUAGGAUGAAGAUGGAGGAUGAAGAAGACAAGGAAGAAAGCUCAUGUGACAAGGGUUGUAUUCCUUCUAAAUUCUUUAUCUUUUGUAUUUGAUUCCAAAUUUAGUUAAUAUACAAGUUCUGGAUUUUGUGUUCAAUAUGUGUUUCUAAAGUUUAAGCCUUGGGUUUGGUUGAACUUUCUAUAAUUGUUAGUGUUUAUUAUUUGGUUAUUUGACUGCUAUGAUUUGAGCAAGUUAUUUAGCACUUUGGCUCUUUAAAUCAUGAUUAAUCUGGUACCAUUGAUUGUGAUUAUCUAAGGUGUUGUUUCUGCAAUGAAAAUUGAGAUUUAACACUAGUUCAAGAAGUGCUAAACAUAGGGAGUACACUCACGAAAGUAGAGGUGCACUUAUGUGGUUUUUAGUGAUUCAUUUCAUGUAAUUUCAUUGAAGAAAUGAACUUGUAGCUAAUUUCAUAACUAUGAAAAUAGGUAUGGAUUAGUUAUGAGUAUAAUUGAUUCACUACGAAAGUAGGAUUCAAAUGCAUAAGGAAAUUACACCAUAAUUAGCCUAGAUGUAGUAUUCAAUGAUCCAAAUAUAGCACUUGCAUGAGUAGUUAGGGAUACCACAACCCAAGGAGCUUUCAUUUGUUAUUUUGUAUAAUUUGAGUAGGUAAAAUUUGUUAUAAUUCAUUGAUAGUCUAAAUAAUAGAGAAGCUUUAGUAGUACCGGUAAUUGCAAUCUUCCUUGUGGGAUCGACCCUUAAUAUCCUAUACUCGCUCACGAUUCGUAUACUUGCGAUAAAUCGCGUGUGGGGUGUUUAGGAGUUUAUAAAUGUAAAACUUGAUUAGGAUGAGCUUAAUUGUAUAUGUAUGGUUAUCAAGUGCAAAGCUCCUUCAAUAGAGGUAACCAAGAAUUUACUGAAUGUAUGUCUUUUGAAGAUGGUUUAAGGUGCUUAAAGGCAAAAUUUGAUGUAAUUAAGUUACAAGUUCAAAUGGACACCAUGAUGCAUGAAAUUGAGCAGAGGAGGAAUGUUAAUGUUUUUAAUUCUUAUCAUGUGAUUUGUGACUUGUGUAGAGGUUAUCAUGCUACUAAUACAUGUAUGCAAGCACAAAAUGUGGAUUAUUAUGAUGAAUUAGAGCAUUACAAUCCUUGUUUUGAUCAAUAUAGUGCUAAUUGGAGCAAUUCUCCUGCUUAUGGUUGGAAUAUUCAAUGUACUUAUAGUGAUAAUUCAUAUUUUUAUGAUCACCAACCUGAAAGUGUCCAAUAUGAAUCAAAACCAUCUUGGGAGUUGGCAAUAGAGAAGUUAGCUAAUGCACCUCUACCUUGGGAGUUAGAAAAUGAACCAUUAGCUAAUGAUUCUAAUGCAUCUUGGGAGCUAGCUGUAGAAAAUUUUUCUAAUCAAUUUGAUUUAGCCAUAGAAAAGCUAGCAAAUGCAACCUCCGACCGUUUUGAUAGGAUUGAGGAAAGGUUAGAUGAAUUAGCUUCUCACUUUGGUAAUAUACAUGAGCAAUUGAAUGUAUUGUGAAGUUAUUUCUUCUAAUAAUUUGCAAAAUGAUCCUAGCAUGAAUGGUGAGAAUGUUGUAUGUGAAAAUGGAUUGCAUUUUGAUGAAAAUGAUGAAUCUCAAUUGUGUUUCAAUGAGCAAAUGUCCAUUUCACAUGAUAAUAUCUUUGGAACUAACUUUGAGCCUCAAGAGGUGAGUUUUAAUGACUCAUUUUUCACCCCUCUUGAGGAGUGCAGUGAAAGUAUAGGUUCUAAAGGUAUUCCUGCUCAAGAUACUCUCAUGACAUUUCCUUUGGUAAAUUCUCAAGUGGUGCAUAUUCAAGGUAAUAUCUAUGAAAUACUUGGAAUAUGUAAGUCACUUCCAUCUCUCACAUCAUUAGAUCAUGUGGCUUUUUCUAUUAAGUCACCUUACAAUGAUCCACCAAGGCCUAAAAUGGUGGAUUAUUCGUUAACUAAGCCUCCUUGAAAAAUGAGGUGAUAUAGUCAAGCUAUUGAUUUUAAAGAAGCGCUUAUUGGGAGGCAACCCAAUGCUUGUUUAAGUUGGUGUUACUUUGGAGUGAUUUUAUGUUUAAAGUAUAAGUUUGAGUUAUUUUGUUAUUUUUCAUUUGUAGGUUUUGGAAAAAGAUGCAAAAGUGACCAAAUGAGGUGAAAAAGGCGAAGUUUGAUCAAAGAUCUCAAUACCUCAAAUUCAGUAAUUGUGAAUUUUGAUGCAUUAAAGAGGUUUAGAAUGCAUGUUUAGAUCAUUUUACAUGUGCGUGAAUGAUUUAUUUUGACAUAGAAAUGAUCUAGGGUGUAUUUUGAAUAAUUGAGGUCAAACUGAAAAUUGCAAAAAUUCUGCAAUAAGUGCAGAUUCAAUGGAUCCAAGGCCUCGGAUCCAUAUGGAUCCAAGGCCUCGGAUCCACUUCUGCAAUCAGAGAAAAACUUCGAGCUUCUUGAUCCGAGCUCGGAUCCAUAUGGAUCCGAGGCCUCGGAUCCACUUCUGCAAUCAGAAAAAAUUUGAGCUUCUUGAUCCGAGCUCACUUAUCAUGAUCCGACAUCGGAUCCUUUCAAAAACGACCUCGGAUCCUUUCCAAACGAAGCCUCGGACCACUUUUCUUCAUUCUUCCCUCUUUUUCCUCCUUCAACUCCACUUUUCUUCUUGUUGGUUGCAAGCUUUUAUUCUUAAGAAUUGUAUUUUUGUUUUUUUUUCAAGGUGCAUUAAUUGAAGUCUCCAUUCUUUCAAGUAAAGUUGGAAAUUCAUCACUUGGACAUGGAUUCGGAUUGCGCAAGUCAUAAGGGGAGUAUUUUCUUUUACUCUUUCUUUAUUUUCCUUUUCUCACAUUGAGGACAAUGUGAAGUUUAAGUGUGGGGGAGGAAAUAUGUGAACUUACAUUCUAAUGCUAUGUGAUGAUAUUUUGUGGAUUUAAAUGCUUAGAAAUAUUGGAAUUGUGUUUGAAUUAUUUGCCAUGUGGAUAAUUUGCCUGAAAUUGGGUUUGUUGGCAGGGAGUUUUCUUCCAUUUAUAUGGGGAAACUCCGUCAAAAUUUGUCUAACAUCUUGUCCAAUAUGUCACUAUGGCCCAAAAGUUCUUCAAAUUUUUGCAUUUUCAUUCAAAAAGGGCUAAUUUGUUCCAACUUUAAAUGUUUUUAUUCUUCCAAUUGUUGAAACUUUAUGUGUAUUUUGGAAGGUUUAGUCCUCAUUUAACUUGGAAAUAGUUAUUAUGCAAUUAGAAUUUUUACAUUUUAGAAAGUAUAUUUGGUAAAGUGAGGAAAAUUAUGCCUAUAAUUUUACAUGUUUAAUGAGAUUUCUUCUCUUUACUUAAUUUUGCAAGUAAGUGAUUGACAUAGUUGAUAAAAGGUUAUACUCCUCCUUUGAUUAGUCUUAUAUAUUUUCUAAGAGGGAAUAUCUAUUUAUUGUCCUUUAGUUUAAAAAAAAAAAGAAAAGAAAAGAAAGAAAAAAUUAUUCUACUCCAAUGAUUUUUGUACCGAGUAACCGGGGGUUGGCAUCUACAAAUGUCGAUUUUCGCGUAAAAAGGUACUUGAAUUAAGAAUAUGCAUUGCAACUUGAAUAAGUGAAAUGUUGAGUAACCGGGAAUCUUCACCUAAAAGUGUCGAUUUUCGCGUAAAAAGGCAUUCUCACUAAUUAAGUAAAAUUAGUAUGAAUAAAUCCCUCUUAGAUGUAAAAUUUUGAGAAAAGGAUGAUUAUAGGAGGAGGAAGGCUAUAAAUCGACUAUGUGGGUUGCUUAUUUGUGAAAUUAGGUUAGGGUAAGAGAUUAAGUUUAACUUGUUGAAUUUAGGGUAUAAUUAUCUUUUCUUUACUUGAUAUUAUGAGUAUUUAGUGUAAAUUGAAUAAUUAUAUAAUAAUUAUUUUCCAAGUCUUGAGGAAUUAAAUUGGACAAAGUGCAUAUAUUGUUUCACCUCUUGAAUCAUUGCAUUUGAUUAUGUGUGAAUUGCUUGAGGACAAGCAAUGAUUUAAGUGUGGGGGAGUUUGAUAAGUGACUAAUUUACGUAAUAAUUGUAUGACAUUUUAUAUUAUUUUUAGUCACUUUGGUUAUAUUAUUGGAAGAAUAUGAAUCAUUUUGGCUAUAAUUGGUGAAAAAUGCUUUUAAGUGAUUAAAUGAGGUUUUUAUCACUUUUUACUUGGAUUUUGUGUAUUUUGACAGUUUUGACACAUUUUCGUAUUUCGGCUAUAACUUGAGUUACAAUGAUCGGAUUGGGAUGAUUCUUGAACCCAUUUGAAGAUAAGAGAUAGAUCUACAACUUUGGUGAAGACAUCUAAAUCCAGUUUGAAGGUUUUCCAGGUCAAAAUGCCGAAUUACAAUAGCAAAUUUCUACUGGUUGAAACUGGAACAGGGCAAUGAGCAGGCAAGGGUAUUUCAAUCAUAUCUCAGCCUACACAGAUCCAAAUGAGGUGAUUCUUGAUGCAUUAGAACGAUAACUCAAACGGCUACAACUUUCGUGUUUUAGACAUGAGCUGGUUCAGCCUCUAACAUCAAGAAAAGAUUGGUUGAAAUUGGGCCAAAAACAGAGCAAGUGAUCCACACUCGGAUCCACUAUUCAUCCGAACCCUCGGUUGUUUCUGGGUUAGUGGAUCCGAGCUCGGAUCCGUAUGGAUCCGAGGUACUGUAGCAGCUCGGAUCACUGGUCAGAAAAGGCUGCUCUGUACGCGUAAAACUCAAUUUCACCUCCACCAACUCACAUUGGAUGCUAGACAUGUGAGAAACAUUCCCAGCUGUAAAAGGGAGAUGUAAUCCUCAUUUCUUGACCACCUUUCAUCAUUAAAUAGCCAAAUGCAUUGCAAAAAUAGGAAUGGGGAGUUCAUAGCAGAAAAUAGAGAGUGAGCUACGGGAGAGCUUGAAACUGCAGAAAUGUAACUCUUUCAUCUCCCUAGUGUUAGUUUAGCUUAGUAUAGAGUAGUGUAGCUUUUCCAUUCUUGUUUAUUAUCUAGAUUAGGAUGAAGAUGGAGGAUGAAGAAGACAAGGAAGAAAGCUCAUGUGACAAGGGUUGUAUUCCUUCUAAAUUCUUUAUCUUUUGUAUUUGAUUCCAAAUUUAGUUAAUAUACAAGUUCUGGAUUUUGUGUUCAAUAUGUGUUUCUAAAGUUUAAGCCUUGGGUUUGGUUGAACUUUCUAUAAUUGUUAGUGUUUAUUAUUUGGUUAUUUGACUGCUAUGAUUUGAGCAAGUUAUUUAGCACUUUGGCUCUUUAAAUCAUGAUUAAUCUGGUACCAUUAAUUGUGAUUAUCUAAGGUGUUGUUUCUGCAAUGAAAAUUGAGAUUUAACACUAGUUUAAGAAGUGCUAAACAUAGGGAGUACACUCACGAAAGUAGAGGUGCACUUAUGUGGUUUUUAGUGAUUCAUUUCAUGUAAUUUCAUUGAAGAAAUGAACUUGUAGCUAAUUUCAUAACCAUGAAAAUAGGUAUGGAUUAGUUAUGAGUAUAAUUGAUUCACUACGAAAGUAGGAUUCAAAUGCAUAAGGAAAUUACACCAUAAUUAGCUUAGAUGUAGUAUUCAAUGAUCCAAAUAUAGCACUUGCAUGAGUAGUUAGGGAUACCACAACCCAAGGAGCUUUCAUUUGUUAUUUUGUAUAAUUUCAGUAGGUUUAAUUUGUUAUAAUUCAUUGAUAGUCUAAAUAAUAGAGAAGCUUUAGUAGUACCGGUAAUUGCAAUCUUCCUUGUGGGAUCGACCCUUAAUACCCUAUACUCGCUCACGAUUCGUAUACUUGCGAUAAAUCGCUUGUGGGGUAUUUAGGAGUUUAUAAAUGUAAAACUUGAUUAGAAUGAGGCAAAAUUGAUAUGUAUACCCUGCGCACGUCAGGUGGUAGGAUCGGGAUCUUACUAGAAUCCCUCCAAGCAUUAGGUCUCGGUAAUGGAGCAAUUGCUGGCUCGUACGCAGCCAAAUAUGUCUCUCUCGAGUAGCAGUUGUGCACGUAGUCCUCUGGUGUGCCAUUUAUUAGUGGAAUGCAACAAACUGCAUGGCAAUAGGGUAAUCCCAUGAGCUCCCACUUUCUACACGUACAUGUGCGUCUAUCGAGAUCAACAACAUAGGUUCCACCAUAGAUAUGCUGCACUUCGAAUCUCUUGUCGUCUGAGUGUCUAGCAAUAUUGGCAGCAGCCACAAUUUUGGCCUUUUCAAGCUUUUUUUGAUUCUUUGGACAUAUUACAUCAGUUCUCUUCUUCAUCCAUUCUCUUUUUAUCCGCAUCCUAUCCAUGAGGUAAACUCUAAUGGUCUCCACCAUACCUAGGAUUGGUUUCUCUCUAGCUUCCAAGAUCACAGAAUUGAAACUCUAAUAAAGGUUAUUCAGUAGGAUAUCACACUUAGUUGUUUCUCUAAAAUGUGAUCUUGACCAUUGUGUUGGGUUUGUAUUGUCCACCAGCCACUUAUGAGUAUUGUGGUCAUACUCUUUUAAAGCAUCCAUCUCACUCUCAAAUUUGUGCAUGUAUGAUGAUCUUGCACAAGCCCAAUGUGACGCCCCACAUCUCCCUAAGGCGGACCAAAGGGUAUCCGCGGACGCCUGCCCAGCUCUCGUCAGGACUCAAGCAAUUCCAUUCAAUUUAAAAUCGGACUAAACACUUCGAAGAGAACAACAUGAAUACAAUAAUGCGGAAGCGUUCAAGCUUAUCGAGUCACUUAACAUGUAACCAGUACAUCGGGUAAUCAUAAUACGACUUAAAUUCAAAAUACACGUCAGGGCCCAAACUUUCAAAUUUACAAUUUCCAAAAGUACAACGAAUGGUUUCUCCAUACUUCUCCAAGAUUCGGUCCUGUUAAGGAAAACAAAACUAUAGGGUGAGCUAAACGCUCGUGAGGCCAAGAACACACAUGCAAGCACUUUGUUCAAAUAGCAAUCCCAAAUUUAAUAAAUAAAACCAAGUCCCUUCAAUAAUCAAUCAUUCGAACAGGAAAAGUAAUCAGAAACAAUUCAAGGAUAUAGUAGCUCUCACGAGCUAAGUUCCACUCGCUCUGCCGAUGUCAUUCGUAUACCUUCCCGCGUUGACCCUCCUAUCAACCGGGUCGGUAUUUCCAUUUCCGUAGAUCACCACUUACUUCCCUCCGUCCACCGUACACCUCAAGGGCCCACAAGUCAUGUGUAAGGCGAUACUCCACGAGUAUGCCAAGCAAGACCUCUCAUUAGGUCGAGCUCGUAUUUAUCCCAUGGCUCGCCUAAGUCCCCGACCAAGCCCAUUGCUGGCUCGAGUCUAAGGUCGGCCUAUGAGUUUGGGCGUCCCCCAUUCAUUUGAAAGUCGAGGAGGUUCACUUCAACGACAUAUGUAAUCAUAACAUAACAUUGCAUUUCAUUCAUUCAUUCAAUACAUUUCAUUCAUUCAAUACAUUUCAGUCAUUCAUUUGAAAUUAGAACGAGUGCGGUACAGUACGCACCCGCCCUUAUUUUUAAAACUUCCAACAAUUACCACAAAUAAGCAAGUAUCACAGAUUCACACACUUGACACUCACCGAGCAAUUCAAUAAGAAUUAUUUUCUGGGAGUUCAAGUGUCCACAGUAAGAUCCUCUUGAAUGUCUUCUUGCGCGCCUGGCAAUUAAUAGCGGAUAAUCACACAAAUAACCCACUUGUCAAGGAAGAUUGUACACUAGUACAAUCUAAGGAAUAUUUCACGAAAUGAACCUCAAUCACUCGUAAAUCGAGGUUCAACUUGCCUUUUAUUAUGUACAAUAUUAUUUGAGUUUUUAUCAUGAAAAACGAGGGCAAAACGUUCGAAUAAUACUAAGAGAAUUAAGAGUUUUGGAAAAACUCCUUUGCCUUGAAAAUUGAGAAAUUUCAGUUUUAUCCUAAAUCUUUGAAAAUUCGUAUCUCUCUCGAUAUAAGUCCAAAACUGGAAAACUUUAUACCGUUGGAAACCUUUUGGAAAGUGUUAAAAGUUCUUAGAAGACACCUUUCCAUGAAUCUAAAUGGAAAGUACUCAAAAAUGAGCUUGAAGAUACAGACUUGGCGUACAAGGCAGAAUUAAGUUGGAUUUCGGCCAACUUUGAAAAUUCGGCACGAUUCACAUAUUGCAAACCGGCCUCUGAAAUUUGUAACUCAAUUAGAGUUGUAAGUGAGGUUUAUAGCAAAACAAGCGGAUCAAGAAUCGGAGUUUCGAGUACCGAGAUACGGUAGCUCAAAGUUGAAGAAGAUUCAAGACUGAAGAAGAAUUUCCAGUUUUGAACCUCCAACACUAGAAAUUUAAUUCGGUAUCGAAACGAACUUGAAUUGAUGCCAAAAUUGGCAGUAUUUUACUCCUAUAUGCAAGGUAUUUCUCUAUCAAAUUUCAGGGAAAAAUACCGUCGGGAAGGUAAUUAACUAAUCAUCCAAAGUUCCGGAAAAUUUCUAAGGCAAUCUGCCUUUUGACUUUCAUUUCCCAAUUUCAAAUCGUUUAACCAAGAAAGCUAUCCAACCAUGGUUCAUUGGUGAAAUAAAGGUCUAAGAUACAUCCAUGAUACCUUUGGUAAUGGUUUAGCAUCAAAAUUUCAAUUAAUAAGAUCACUCCCAAGUUUUUGUCCCACAUUAGUCCAAAUACUACGUUUUUCCAAAACAGGGCAGUCCUCUUGUUUUGGUCACAACUCAAUCAAUUUAACUCGGAAUGAGGCAUUGUUUAUGGCGUUAGAAAAUACAUUCAUAGGACUAAAAGUUUACAGAAGAAAACGUUCUGAAAUUUGGCAAGCAACCAGCUCCAAAUUGAGCCUCAAGUUGCUGCCUCUACAAACCAUUCCAGCAAAUCCGAGAGACAGGACAGCUAUCUUAAAACAUUUGGUUCUGAUCACUCACAAAGAAUCAGAACGUGCAUUUUAUCUCAAAUUAAAUCCAGGAAUGUCUAGUUUCAAACGGUUCCGACGGCACUUGAUUUCGACACCCGAGGACAGAGUUAUGGCCAAAAUGCUACCGCUGGACAGGGUUACCCGAAAAUAAUUUUCCAGCUUGCCUAGUCCACGAAUAAAUUCAUUUGCCCAUCCAAACGUUAAUGUUUUCCAACGAAAAUUUUUACACAUAUAGUAUAACAUAUAAACAUCAGGUUCAUGCCAAUAAAUCACCAAAAAUUGGCCUUAUAGUGGCCGAACAAAACAGGGGCAGUUUCGGAAAUUUCUUGUCAUGACCUCAACUUUGAGUUUCCAACAAUAAUACUCCAUAAAUCCAUCAUUAUAACCAUUAAACUACCAUUAAAUCCAACAUUAAUCCUCUAAUCAGCGACAACAACCCAAGUGUGGGAAUACAAAGAGCCCACUUUCACAUUUUACAACCAUAUCAAGCCACCCAUCCACAUGCAAUAGCUUAAAGAUGCAUUUCUACCAUCAUAAUCCAAGUUUAAGGUAUAGGAUGAAGUUAUACCUCCUUAGUGCCUUAACCCAGAAAUUUUCGGCCCUCAAGAGUUCCAAGAAACCGUGAAAGGCAGCCCUUUAGUUAGCUAAAUCCAACCUCCAAGUAGUAUGCUAGAUGAUCUUCAAGUUUGGUGAAGAUUGGUUGAGGUUUUGGGUUGAUUUGAUGAAGGAAUUUGUGAAGCAAGAGAGUGAGUGACAGGGGGGUGUUGGCCGGCUGCUAGGUGAGAGAAGAUGGAGUGAAGUUUGAUCAAAAUUAGCUUCCAAGAGAAGAUUAAAUGGGUGGUGCACAAUCACUCCAAAGUCAACUCUUAUUAGGGCUCGUUUGGCACGUUUUAGGUUCAUUUUCUCGCGCGUUUGGUUCACUAGUGCACUGAACCUCCAAUGCAUUUAUAUUCAUGUAAGUAUUAUUCACUCUUAAUUGUCCCGAAAUAAGGGUCUAAAGUCCCUCAAAUAAAGUCACGCGUGUGAAAAUGCGUACCGUCAAUUUUAACGCUAUAACGCGAAACUUCCGAGAAAUUCUUAUAACGAUUGCACUACUAACUAUCACUUGAGUAUUUAUUCAUAAGAUUACCUAUUUUAGGACCAUAGUACAAGUCUCCAAUAUUCCAAGUUUAUUGUGCUCCUACGCGGAUAAAAUCUUCAAGCACUAUUCACUAUUUUUACUAAACGCGCUCCAGGAAAUUAAUUUUUGAAACGAAUCAUUUUAAAAAUAUAACGAAGUUAUAUUACCAUGUAUUUAGGUCUAAUAAGACUACAAAAUAUUCCUCGUGGCAAAAAUCCAAUUAAAUAAUUUAUUAAGCCAUAAAUUAGGCAUAAAAUAAUACUCCCUCCGUCCCAUUGAAAGUGUCAUGCUUUCCUUUUUGGUCUGUCCCAAAAUUAAUGUCACUUACUAUAAUUGGCAAUAAAACUUUCCCUCAUUUCCAUCUCAUGCCCUUAAAUAUAUCAGAUUCCUUUUAAGUUUUUGAUGGGUCCCAUAAAACUACAAGAGUUGCUCUAAUAUGCGUGAGACUCACCGCAAAUGCAAACAAUGGCCGUGCAAGCUACUUUCUCAAAAAAAUGGCUGGACACAUUUGUAAAGUAUGGGCCCCACACAUCUUGUCAUCCUUGCUUUUUCUUUCUGCCACUCAAUGGAGUAAUGCACGGAAGGGUAGCGCUGGAACUUAGACCAAAAUGCGACACUGUUGAAAAGAAGCUCAAGACCCGAAGUGCGACAUUCAUUUCGGGACGGAGGGAGUAGUUUUUUACGAGUCCUCACACCCAAAAUCUUACUUUUAUUGAUUCACCUGGAUACGACUUCUUCAUAUUAUUGUGUAGAUGCCUCACACAAUGGCUAUGCUCCACACCCGGAGUGACUUCAUGAAUGGCAGACCCCAAUCCCUGGAAGGGGUGUAACCAUCAAUUUUUUUUUUUAAAAAAGACAUGUUAUAUUUUCAUUAAUGGCAGCCUAGGUAACCCAAAAAACAACAAGAUUGUAAAUAUCUUUUGUCUAUCACUGAAGAAGGUCCAUGUUUUUUAUUCAUGAAUACACAAGUCAUAUUUCAACAACUCCAUGAACCACUUCCAUGAGCUCUUAUUCUCAAAUUUCACUACUGUGUAUGCAAUGGGGUAGAUUUAGUCGUUGGUAUCAAUCCCAAUAGCAGUUAACAAUACUCUCGGAUGUGGACCCCUCAAGUGGCAACCAUCUACACCAAUCAAUUGUCGACAACCGGCCCUGAAGCCUUUUUUCAAUGCUUCAAAGCAUAUGUAUAUCCUUUGAAAUCUUUCCUUACCACUUAUAUCAUCAACCGUUGUCUCCAUGUGCACUGUUGAGCCAGGAUUGCAAGCUAGCAGCUCUUCGCAGUAGUCCCACAGCUUUAUGUAUUGUUGUUUGUAACUGCCAUAGAUCAAAAGCUUGGCCUUCAUAAAGGUCUUACUCACUUGGUCUCUUGUGAUGUUCACAUUUAGCUCUAAGUGCACCUUCUCCUUAAAUUCUGUGACACUCACCCUCUUGUUUAAUCUAAGAAAGUCCAUAUAGUGUCUACUUAGGAAACCCGAAUUGGCACGCUUGUGGUGAAAAGUCCUACUGAUAGGUUGCAUUUUUGUCAUUAAUUUUAUGGUUAUUUCCCUCUUUUAUUGUACCAAAUAUUUCGUUAAUUAGUGGAUUCUACUUAUAUUUGGUAUUUGGUGCUAAUUGUAGGAAGGUGGGGCAAAAAGUGAUAAAAAAGGUUAUUUUUCAAGAGUUUUUCAAUUCAAGAUGGAGUCUAUGUGGAUUAUUGGCGGAAGAUUAGGAAAUUACCAUAUUUUCUUAGAUAUUUUAUUUAGAAAACAAUUGGCAUUAUUCUCGGAGUUACCUUUUUCAAUUAGAAUUCUAGUUUCAGUUGUCCAAGUGAGAAGCCGAAUGGGUUAUUAAUUAAUAGUCAUUAGGUAUCUUAUUACCUUGGCGGGGUUGGCCGCAAUAGCGAAGAUCGACCGCUCAGCCUUUUUGGCCAGUCUUUUGUUUUCUCUUGUUUUUCUAUUAGUCCAUCGUAUGCCGCAGGCAAUUAGGAGGAAUAUUUGUCAUUCUUUGGACUUGGUAAUUUUUCCUUGUUCUUAUUCCAUCGGAUUCAAUCAUCUCAAUUUGAAGACAAUGUACGCGCCAAUUGUUUCUAUGAUUUUGCGUGGGAUUUUCUCCACAGAGAUAAACUAAAUUUCUUUUUCUAGUCAAGGAAUAAUGGAGGUUUUGGUUCAUCUAAAAAUUGUGAGAUGAAAUUAAUUUUAUUUAUUCCUCUUAUUUACUGGUAUUUGCAUAUUCUCUGAUUGUAGUGCUUAUGGUUGUUUUAGUAAUUGAGUAUUCUGGGCUCGGACGUUGAAUUAAUUUAGCAACCUAAAUGUCAAUUAGAACGUUUGACGUGCGCGGAGUAUACAUAUACAAUUAAGCUCAUCCUAAUCAAGUUUUACAUUUAUAAACUCCUAAAUACCCCACACGCGAUUUAUCGCAAGUAUACGAAUCGUGAGCGAGUAUAGGGUAUUAAGGGUCGAUCCCACAAGGAAGAUUGCAAUUACCGGUACUACUAAAGCUUCUCUAUUAUUUAGACUAUCAAUGAAUUAUAACAAAUUAAAGCCUACUGAAAUUAUACAAGAAAAUAACAAAUGAAAGCUCCUUAGGUUGUGGUAUCCCUAACUACUCAUGCAAGUGUUAUAUUUGGAUCAUUGAGUACUACAUCUAGGCUAGUUAUGGUGUAAUUUCCUUAUGCAUUUGAAUCCUACUUUCGUAGUGAAUCAAUUAUACUUAUAACUAAUCCAUACAUAUUCUCAUGGUUAUGAAAUUAGCUACAAGUUCAUUUUUUCAAUGAAAUUACAUGAAAUGAAUCACUAAAAACCACAUAAGUGCACCUCUACUUUCGUGAGUGUACUCCCUAUGUUUAGCACUUCUUGAACUAGUGUUAAAUCUCAAUUUUCAUUGCAGAAACAACACCUUAAAUAAUCACAAUCAAUGGUACCAGAUUAAUCAUGAUUUAAAGAACCAAAGUGCUAAAUAACUUGCUCAAAUCAUAGCAAUCAAAUAACCAAAUAAUAAACACUAACAAUUAUAGAAAGUUCAACCAAACCCAAGGUAUAAACUUUAGAAACACAUAAUGAACACAAAAUCCAGAACUUGUAUAUUAAUUAAAAUUGGAAUCAAAUACAAAAGAUAAAGAAUUUGGAAGGAAUACAACCCUUGUCACAUGAGCUUUCUUCCUUGCCUUCUUCAUCCUCCAUCUUCAUCCUAAUCUAGAUAAUAAACAAGAAUGGAAAAGCUACACUACUCUAUACUAAGCUAAACUAACACUAGAGAGAUGAAAGAGCUACAUUUCUGCAGUUUCAAGCUUCUCCCGUAGCUCACUCUCUAUUUUUCUGCUAUGGACUCCAAUCUCUCCAAUCCCCUAUUUUUGCAAUGCAUUUGGCUAUUUAAUGAUGAAAGGUGGUCAAGAAAUGAGAAUUACAUCUCCCUUUUACAGCUGGGAAUGUUUCUCACAUGUCUAGCAUCCAAUGUGAGUUGGUGGAGGUGAAAUUGAUUUUUUACGCGUACAGAGCAGCCUUUUCUGACCAGUGAUCCGAGCUGCUACAGUACCUCGGAUCCGUAUGGAUCCGAGCUCGGAUCCACUAACCCAGAAACAACCGAGGGUUCCGAUGAAUAGUGGAUCCGAGUGUGGAUCACUUGCUCUGUUUUUGGCCCAACUUCAACCGAUAUUUUCUUGAUGAUAAAAGCUGAUUUAGCUCUUGACCAAAACAUAAAACUUGUAGCCCUUUGAGUUAGCUUUCCAAUGCAUCAAGAAUCACCUCAUUUGGAUCUGUGUAGGCUGAGAAAUGACUGAAAUACCCUUACCUGCUCCAUGCCUUGUUCCAGUUUCGACCAGUAGAAAUUUGCUAUUGUAAUUCGGCAUUUUGACCUGGAACACCUUCAAACUGGAUUUAGAUGUCUUCACCAAAGUUGUAGAUCUAUCUCUUAUCUUUAAAUGGGUUCAAGAAUAAUCCCAAUCCGAUCAUUGUAACUCAAGUUAUAGCCGAAAUACGAAAAUGUGUCAAAACUGUCAAAAUACACAAAAUCCAAGUAAAAAGUGAUAAAAACCUCAUUUAAUCACUUAAAAACAUUUAUUCACCAAUUAUAGCCAAAAUGAUUCAUAUUCUUCCAAUAAUAUAACCAAAGUGACUAAAAAUAAUAUAAAAUGUCAUACAAUUAUUACGUAAAUUAGUCACUUAUCAACGUUAAAUCCGUAAUUGUUUAAUUGCUUUAAAAUAGUGGCAACUGACAUGAUUCGGUUUGUGUCAGGGGAAUACGCAGACUAAUCUAAAAUAAUUCUGGUAGUGUGUUAUUUGGUUAGAAUAGGACUCCUCUAAUACGUAAGGUAAUUGGGGAAUUAAAUCUUAUGGGUGUACCUAAGAUUAUUUCCCGAUUAGAGUAGUGAUUGACGGGCGUACCUCAGUUAUCGACAUAGUAAGAAGGAGUUGACUAUCAUCGUUUGUUUGACAGUUAUAACUUAUUUAUUAGUUAAUAAUUGGAAUUAUCUCUGCGUCGAUGAUCAAUUAGGUGAACCAUUGGUAAAGUUAUUUCUUGACUAGAGUUGUCCAAUACUAUUUGAGUUUUACAGAUUGCUAUUUAAUUUUUAUUUAAUUGUAAUAUUUGAUUAGUAUAGCUUAUUGUCAAUUUUCAAAAAAUCCCCCACUGUCAAUUUGAACUUCAAAAGAGACAAAUAUCCCCAAUCCCUGAGGAUACGACCCUACUUUCCCUAUAUAUAAAUUAACAAGUUCUCGUGAAUAAAUUCUGAUAUAUCGGAUUUAGCAAACUCUUCGGAGUCAGGGUAAAUCUAAUAACCCAUUGCACAUCCAGAGUCCCUACUCCAGUACUAGAAUUGACUCGAAACUGCUUUUACUGGCAACUAGAAUUAUCAUUAUUAUUAUUGCACAGGCAUCGACAACCUGUCACCUACCACAAUUGCAAGAUGGUCCCAUGGUUCUAAUAAUAAAAGCAUCACUAUCAAUCUUUUUUGAAGCAUAAAUGAACCAGCCACAAUUUACACUAUUGCAUUUAGCCCGCAUUCUACCUAAAAUGUUUACCCCAUUUGCCUCCAUAAUAAUCAAUAGCUCGUUUAAAUAUCUGUUUAUCAUCAAAUAACAGCCCAACAAAGAAUUUUGGAUCCACCAUAUCAUGCUCAGGUCUAAACCUCACAUACCUUGGCUUUUUCCUCUUUCAAUUAUCUUCAUCCGAGGCUUCACUAUUGCUAUUUAACUCUUCAGAAUUGAUUGACUCUGAUUCUUCAUGCACUUCAAUAUUUUCUCCAUCGUAUAACUUGAAGUCACCAGUUGUAUCAUUCCUAUUUUUCUGCCUAAUGCUCCUCCAACAACCGGCUUUUUUGUUCAUUUUUUCUGCAUUCAUUCUUGCCUUCAGGAGCAACUGUUUCUAUUAUCUCCUUCGUUUUUUCAAGCUCUUUAUCAGCACCGACAACAGAUUUUUUGAAAAUGACAUCAUCUUCAUCGUCCCUAAAGUCAUAAUCAUUAUCGACCAAGCUUUCAUUUUCUGUAGAAUCUGAUUGUGCAUCUUCUUCAACACAAUAGCCAUCUUCUUCCUCUAUUAAUUCAAUUGGCACAUUGAUUUCUUCAAAUGUGGUAGACUCCUCAAACGUGAUGUCAACAUAAAAAGAAUCUUCAUUUGAUAUACCAGCCUCUCCAAUAUCCACAUUUGAGCUGCCCACUUUACUAUCAAUAAAUCUAAUGUGAAAUUCCUGCACCAAGUACACCUCAACCACACCAGUUUGCUUUCCAAUAAAGGCCAUGUCUAUAACAUUAUCCUCACUUUCUAUAUUGCGAAGUUUGAAGAUACAAUCUCCACAAGAAACUCUAUAAAGCAAUUUGACAUUUUCUUCACAUCCGACAAAAGUGCAGAAGCCAUGGAGAUGUGACAUGUUAACUACAUUCACUAUAACACCUUCAAAGGAUUCCAUAAUACCCCCCACAUACUUUUCUUGUGGUGGUCCAAAAUAUACCUCACCGUAAUACAUUUUUAGUGUAAAACAGUCUAGCUCAUGUCCUGUGUUUUUUUUUGGUACAAAAGACAAAAAAAAUUUUAAUUAGGCAUCCACAUGCUCGGUCACUAUCCUGUAACCCAAUUAAGUAGCAUGAGAACAACAACAUAGUGUUAUUUUCACAUCAAAGGGACCACCGAAACUAAAGUAAUAAGGGAGGCCACUACACAUAUCAUGCCAUACCCCACAUCUCAUAUGUACCAAAACCUUAUCAUUGAAAUUAGAAAAGGAAAAAUCUGACAACUAUAAUUCAACAACCAACCACUUAUUUCAGAUGCAAACUUCAACUUGUUAGGAAAAAUAUUAACUUCAAACACUUAUAAGUAGGCCAAGACUUACCGGAAAUCCUCACUGCCAUUCCGUCGGAGUUUCAUCCUCGAGCUUUUCCUUGCUCCACUGUGCCGUCCGUAAACCAGUUUCUUCAUUCCACUCUGUUUCCUUCAUCUUAUCUCAUUUGAUUGGUGGCAGUUUGCGUCAGAAAAAAGCCCUAAUUUUGCUCACCUAUUUUGCUUCAAAGGUUUUCCCCAAUUUGGUCCCAAAAUGGUUGAUGUCUUGCUUCCCGUAGAAAAUCGUAUUUUUUACUUCCAAAAAAGCCCCUGCCUCGCUGUUGGUUUGGGUACAAAAAUAUAUGUUUUGGGUGGUGACACCGUAUAGGUCCUCAAUUGGCACAAGAAUUUUAGUUAAAGGACUUAAUGCAUGUGAUAAAAUGUUAAGGGACCAAUCGGCUUUAGUGAAAUAGUUUGAGAACUAAAUUGGCGAUUUUCUAUAGAAUUACUGGAACUAGAAGCAAAGUAGGGUAGCCCCCUAGUGACAUUAUCACUCUUUUGCCUCAUAAAGGAGUAAAGUCUAGAUAGAUCCAUUAUGACAUUAUUGAAAGAAGAUAAAAACAAGGGAUAAUAUUAGAAACCUCCUUUGAGAUUUCUCUUAAUAUCACUUGGCACCCCUGAGGUUUUUUGAAAUAUCACUUAUCUUCCCUAAUAAUUGUAAAAAAACUAUAUUAACCCUCACUUGACACAUAAUUCACAUAUCAAAUAAAUGAAGUUUAAAAUUUUUUUAAAAAAAGUCACUUUCUUCUCUUUCCCUUUUUUCCAUCAUUCUCUCUUACUCAUUUUUUGGAUGACUAUGCAAUAUUUUAUUUGUAAACUAUAAUAAAUUAAAAUUUGUUUAUCUUUUAUUUUUUGUGAUUGUGAUGAAGUGGGGUAUGAUUAAUUUAUUUAUUUUGAGUUAAUUUUUAUAAUGAUUGGUACAAUUUAAUAGUUUAGGCAAGGAUUGAAAAGAUGUUGAAAAAAAUGUAAAUUUCAUAAGAAAUCGAUUUUAAGCAUAUGGAGUUAAAGUGGAACAAGUGUAUUUCUUUUUAAAUAUCUUUUUUUAUUUUUCAAAUUUAUAUUUUUAUGGGGCAUAGCAUUAUGAUGUGGUAGUACUUCAGGAGAUUUUUUUUAAGUGAUGGUUUUCUUGAAGUGAACAAAAUGGUUUAGAAAUAUUUUUUAUUUAGCAAGUGAAAAGGCAGUUUUGGGCUUUUAAAAAUUUUGUUAUACAAAUAACAAAAGUAAGGGAAGUGAUUUUUUUUAAAAUCUUACGGGUACCAGGUGAUAUUAAGAGAAAUAUCCGGGGAGGUUUCUGAUAUUAUCCCAAAAAAAAAGGCUAACCUAAUCAAGAUAUUCAUGCAAUUUAACAAUGUGUAAUGAAUAGUCAAAUAAUGCUGGUGAAUCGAAAGGUAACUAGCUGCUCAUGAACAAAAUCAACUAGGGUGGCCUCUCAUCCCAUUAAAACGUUUUAAAAUUUUCCAUAGAAUUAUUGGAACUAGAAGCAAGGUAGGGUAGCCCCCUAGAGACAUUGUUACUCAUUUGCCUCACAAUGGAGUAGAGUCUAGAUAUAUCCAUUAUGCCAUUAUCAAAAGAAGAUAAAAACACGGCCAUCCUAGUCAAGAUAUUUAUGCAAUUUAACAACGUGUAAUGAAUAGUCAAAUAAUGCUAGUGAAUCGAAAGGUAAGUAGCUGCUCAUGAACAUGGGUUCCGUAAGGAAUAAGUGUUUUUGGAGUUAUUAUUUAAAAUUUUUACUAUAGCAGUACAUGUAAAAAAGAAUUAGAGUAGAAUAGUUCGUGUGAAUUUUGUGUUUUUCAAAAUGUACUUUUGGUUAUUUUUAAAUUUUUAAAUUUUAUUGAGGUUGUUUAAAAAAUUUAAAAAAUUUCAUCAUUCACUAUUACCCACCAUUGUCCCUCCCUUCAUCUAUUGCCACCACCAGCCUCCCCCUCUGCUCUUUCCCUCCUCUUCCCCUUGCUUCUCCUUCGUCAUCCCCCUCUAUCUUUCCUUAUUUCCCUCCUUUUCCUUCUCUCCUCCUACAAUCUCUCCCCUUUUUAGUUGCACUGGUCCUACUUGGCAUAAUUAGAGAAGGGGAGAGAAGGGAGGAAAAAGGGAGAGGGAAAGAAUGGAAAAGAGAGGUGGGGGGAAAGCCGGAGUAAGAAAGGAAGGGAGGGAGAAAGAGAAAAAUUGAAAAAAAAAAAAAGAGAGUAGGGUGGAUGCCGACAAUUGCUGUCGGUAUUGGUGGAUGAUACUGGUGUGUGAAAGAAGAAACAAGUUUAAGAUUCAUUUUAUUUUUUAUUUUUUUAGUGUACUUGAAUGUGUGUUUUUAGAUUUGCUAUGGGAUUUGUUACCAUAAACUCUAAAAAUAGUUUGUGUAAAAAAUAGUCAAUCCAAGCACACUAUAUGAGUAAUCAGUAAGUGCAACCAAUUACUCCUAGAGUAGUUGGCUACUAAGAGAGUUUUAAGGUUCUACUUAGAUGUAAGUCAAGAAGUCAAAUUCCUUGAUUUGUAUUCUAAUCCAAGAUUUCUUGAAAAAAUUUUGCCAGCGGAUGUAUAGGUAUCCGUCUGAAUCAGUGGUGAUUCCCCUCAAGUUCUCCCCUUGAUCCUCUUGGGUCCUCCUUCUCCCCUAGUGUAGAUUAGGAGUAAGUAUAUAUUAGAAUCUAUCGUGUCUGGCAAAAAAUUUCUAAUAUAGAGUAUGAGUAGAUAUAUAUUAAAAUUGAUCGUGUCCAAUAAAAAAAAAAACAAAAAUCAAUGCGUGCGUUUUCUUUGUUUCUUGGGAUAAACUAGACUACAUUCCAUUACCUUAAAAGGGAAUCUACAGUGAUUUAAGAUGGGAGGUUGAGCUCACAUCCUUGUCAACACUUUGGCAGAUUAAUUUGCAGCGGGAAAUCGGCAUCAAUUGUCCCAAAAGUUAAAGCACUUCCUAGUUACCAAGAGUGAACAGAGAUUGAUGAGGUUUGUCCGUACAACGUCCGAAGAUUUCAUUGUCCGUCCGUACAGUUUUUGUCAGCCUCCUACCAAUAACUAGGCGGCAGCUCAGCAUCGUUGAGACAGCGUCAACUUGCUCAUGUACUCUUCUGGCCGCAGUCGGUCUGGCUCAUCGUAUUAUUAAUGACUGUGACUUUCCUUUGCCAUUUGCAUUUUCUGUGGUACGAAUUUUUCUACUUUGAGAAGAUCUCAUUGUCCUCGAUUUUGGUAUGGUUAGUUGGACCAAUGUUUCCUUUGAUUUCCUUUUUAUUUGGGAUAAUGUAUUGGUAUGUUUUUUAAAAUCUUAACCGUGAAAAUAUUCGAAAGUCAUUUACCGUGUUCUGCAAUUGGCAAAAAAUCUGAAUGUCCUUCUCCUUUUGAAUUAAUUAUUUUUUGAAGUGUUUUUGAAAUAUUUUAUAUAAUAAUUUAUAUAAAAAAAUUUUACUAUAGAUGCUUUUGAAAUAUAUUUUGGAGUAUUUUUAAAAUUUAAAAAAUAUUUAGAAUAGUUUUUAAAAAAUUAACACUACCACUCAUCACCACCACCGAUCCUCCCUCCUCCCUCUUCCUUUUCCUUCUCUCCCCUCCUUCCCUUCCCUUACCCUCCUCUCCUCUCUCCUUUUCCAUCACACCCCACCCCUCCCCUCCUUUAAUACAUGGCCUCGAUGGGCAUGGUAAGAAAUGGGAGAGGAAAGGGAAGGUGAAGGGAGGAGGAAAGGGGAGGAAAGGAAGGUGAAGGAGCAGGAAGAUGGAGGGAGAAGAAAGAGGAAUGAGGGGAUGGUGAUGAUACAUGAAAGAAGAAGAUGGUGUAAACUAUUUGCAUAUUUUUUAUUUUUUUUUGUAUAUUUAGAGUUUUUUUGAUAUAUUGUAUGGAUUUAGUGUUUCUAGAGUUAUUUUUAUUUAUGUAUUAUUGUAAUAUUAUAUAUGAAAAACUUAUUUUUCAAAAAAUGAAGAAUCCAAACAGAGUCAAUGUUCAAUUUUUAGCCAUCUAACUAUUAAACACAUAUUUUUGUCCCUCAAGCUUAUAAAAAAAUAUACUCUCCACCCAUUUUGUUAGAAAUAAUUUAAAAAAUCUCUUCUAAGAUUUAUGAUGAUAUCACUUGCUAUUCUUGAAAUAUUAGAAAUAUCACUUAAUUCCCAUAUCAGUGGAGAUGGGACCAUCGAUCACUAUCAUAGCAGAAUUGGCAAAACUAUCCUUACAACUUUAACAAGUUUUAGGCAAAACAUUAUGGAAGAUAAAAAUUUUAAGCAAAACAUGUAAAUCUUAUAUUAUAAUCAAAUUUGUAGAAAAUUCAAUAUAAGACAAUAUAAAAGAGUGGAACCGGAAGAAAUAUAUAUAUAUAUAUAUAUUGUUAAACGAUUAUUGCAAGGGUAUUUUAAUGACACAAGAGCGAGAUUGCUACAAAAGGUAUGGUUUUAUAGGUGGCUAGUGGUUAUUUUAAAACUUUAGGAGUGCCAAGUAAUGUUAACAUACAUCAAGGGUAGGGAAUAUACCCUUUUACAAGUUUGGGGAAGCAAAAGUAUGCACUUAAUAGUUAGAGGAUUAAAAGUUGACCAACUUAAUAAUUAGAGAGCCAUCCAAAUUUUUUACCGUCUGCUUUUUUAUACAUUGGAAAUUAGAGAAUGAAUAAAUGAGAAUUGAAUUGUCACGUACUUGCUAAGGAGAGCUUGAAUGUCUUUUAUUUAAAGUGGCACAUAGAGAAGGAAUAAAGGAGAACUGAGUAUGCCAUAUACUAAGAAAAGUCAAGUGCAUUUAAGCUAAAGCGGCAAUUGAACAAAGGUUAGUCUAUAGUGAUAAAAUCAAAAGUUGAGAUUUGGGGGUAAGGCUAACAAAGAUGAACAUUUGUGGUUGUUGAGGAAGUCUCCUUAAAGUUACGGUUGAUACUCUGGAAUCACGCAUUUUAGAUUCAAAUCUCCCUUUUUACUUCUUAAAUCUUAUCUUUAACUUGAUUAUAUAUAUAUAUAAACUAGUUUAGGCUGUAGUUUGGAGUCAAGCUUUGAUCAAGUGAAGAUCAAGCUUCAAUCCUUGUUAGCGUUCCUCCAUUCUUAUUCAAUAAACUUUAUUUAAACAUAUAUUGUGUUAUGAAUGAUCGGUUAAGCCACAUGAUAUUCACAUUUAUUUACUUGUUUAUAUUCUAUUUAUAUUCAUAGAUCUCAUGGCUAGUUAUACUGUCUGAUCUAUUAUUAAUGACAGUCUGACUGCGACCCACUUCCCUACUUUUCUUGUUCAUGCUUAUUAAUUUUCUUAUUAUUUUCCUGGUUUAGGGACCAACCCUCUUGCAUAUUUGUAAAAGGCUUAGAGGGUAAAAUCUAAUUUUUAGAAGGAUAUAAUUUUGACAUCUUAAGGAAAUAUAAGGCAGUUUAUUUUAUCGCCCUUCUCCUUUUUAUCUGCCAGUGACCCUAUUAACAUCUAAUGCCAGAGAAAUAUGCAUACACCCUUUUGUAUCAUCUAAUGCCAGAGAAAAAUGCAUACACCCUUUUGUAUCAUAAAAGUAUUUCGCAUGUUUGUAACUUUUCCGGAUCCUGUCUUCUAUAAAUUAGAAACUCAAAAAAAUAACAUUGUUUCUUUUUUAUUCUUUGGAGUGGCUAAUGACCCGGAAUAUGACAGUAGUUAGUAGAGAAGAUUUGACUACUUAAUUGUGAGACAAUUUUUAAAUUUAAGGAAUUAUAAAAGGAGAAGAAGACAAAAUAUAACACGUGGCCUUUAAAACCUCUACCAAUGUCCGUCCUAAUCUUGUAAUUAUUUAUUCAUUCAUUUUUUUUCUUUAUAAAACAUUGCGUCCCUUAUUCUAUGAUGAAGAAAAAAGCACAAAUUUUAACGCUACUAUAUUUUGAUCAUUUUAAUGGUAAUUCUAUAAAAUAAGAUUUGACGGCAUAAAAAGGCGGUGGGCUUUAAUAAUCAAAAAACACGUAGUCAUACACAACUUUAAUUGUUUCAUCCCUAAAAUUACCUGAAAAUUGGACCAAAACUACCUGAAAAUAGGAAGGACUAGAACAUACAAUUUGUACGUAAUAUACACAUCACCAAUUGCAAUACAAGUAGCAUUUUCAAUAUAUAUUUCAUCCAUCAAUGUAGAAGCUGCUUUUGCCUCAUAAUUAGUAAGUUCGGCGCAGCUUGAAAUAACAUGCCUUUUACAGUAGUAUAAAGAAAAGUGAGAUAAACCAUAAAAGAAGAAAAACAAGUUAUACAAAAUCAUGUAGAUUGAUAAAUUGUUCAUCUUUUUUUUGGGACAAUUUAACUAUAGGAGGUCCGAUAAACAGUUGCAUUUCUACCUCCUUUACUUAUCUCAGUGACAAGGGUUAUUGACUAAUUUUUAGUUCCACUCAUCACUCUUCAUAUUGCAAAUUCAUUUUCUCCACAAAAAUAUAAAUUGCUCAACAAAUAGGUUUGCCAUACACAAACUAAACAUUAAUGGUAGUAACACUUUUGGGAGGUGCUAAAUUAAAUCUCAUAGCCCUUCACCUUAAAUCCUCAACAUUUGGUUCAUUUAUUACUUUAUUGCUACCAUUAAAAAUUGUACAAAAUGUGAAUUUGAAAUAGAGGUUCAUAGGUUUAGGCCUUACCUAAUACAUUUAUUUUUGUUUCCAAGUUUUCCCUUACGUCGGAGUUCCCUUCCCUAUAAAGAAUUCGGGUAUUUUGUUAAAAGAUGAAGAAUGAAUUUAGUAACUUCGAUUAUCCGUCCCUAUCCAACAUCAUAAAGUUGGAAUAGAUGAUUUUUUUUUUUUGGGUAUAUAUAUAUAUAUAAAUUAAUAAUGUUAUGAGUAACAAUAGUAAUCUCUACCUUUUCUCGCAAUUCCAUAUUUUCAUUUAGGAGAAUUUUCUCCUGAAUUUUGGGAUGGCAUGCAAAUUAAGAAGAUUAACCAUGCCAAUUCACAUGAAAUGCACAAACUUUAUUCUUUAUGAAAAUGCAAACGAAUGAAUAAGCAACUUCUGAAUUUUCAAAUGCGUAUUUUACCUCUUUUUUCAGCUAAUGAAUGCGCUCCCAAAAUAAUUGGCUCCGCAGGAGAAUUGAACAUUCGAUUUUGACCAUCAAAUUCUACAUUCUGAUCAAAUCAUUUUAGAGAUGCCUAUUGCAACACGUAACUUUCUUGACCUAAUGAUGCUUAAACUUUUCUCCAGUUGACCACCUAUCUGUUGCAGUUCAUCAACAGAGGAGGAAUCUAAACCAUCUCCCAAGAACUUUCUGCAACAUACAAAAAUUAUGCUGUUUUUCAUCUCCAAAAACUGCACGAAAUUCGUGUUGUUGUACGAUAAGGAAUGAGUUGUGCUUAAAACUUAAAACGGGCCAACGUUAGGACAACAACCGUUUAGUUUCUUCAUGAAGCUCAACUUUCUUUUUUCUCAGAAUUGCAAACUCUUCUUCAAAAUUCUGCACCCAAAAAAAAAAAAAAAAGAAGCUCAGCACGAAUCAAAAGAUGUAGCAGAAUAAAUUCGAAGACAAGAUUCUUUAAGUCAAAGAAUCAGUGUUGAAUGAGAUUCCCAGAAUCAAGUGAAUGUAAGACAUUACAGCUAUUCAAUGCCAGUUCAAAGGAUCUUGGCUGCCAUUCCGAGAAAUCAAGAAAGUGAAUGCCAUGAAAAUGCUUAUUUUGGAUUUUGAACGCAAUUCAUAGGCUCAUGUAACUAAUAUUUGAUACCAGCACACAGUUAAACACUUAAUACCCGCUAUUCAAAGAAAAUGCAAAAGGUAACUUCGCAUGUGAAAAUGGAGCAUAAAACUCAACUAGGUACCAUUCAUCCCUAAAGACAAAACAAGAUAAACGUCACAAAUGGUAAACAGAUAUAGCACAACAGCACAAGAAAUUAACUCUUUAGUGGAGAGGAGAUGCCAAAAGCACGUAUAUCCAGUCAAGGGAAAGGAAAAGAUUAAAAAAAGAAAAAGAAAAAGAAGAAUUUUCUAAACACAAAUCUUUCUCCAUGAACAUAUUUAAAUAUACUCACUUAACCACAGAAGCAAAAAAGAUGCUGUUGCUACUGCUUGCAUGUAUAUGAAACAAUGGCAAGGCAAAACAAUGGAAAAAGCUUUACCGGAAUAUGCUGAUCAGUUUCUGACAUGUGCUUGUAGAGCCAUUUUUUCGCUUGGACAUAUAUUCCUGAUAAUCUUCUGGUAGCUGUACUUGUGGCACUAACGCAAUUAAAUCAUUGCACGCAAUAUUACUCAGUGAAGAAUUUUAAAAUAAAGUUUCUCAUCCUGAUUUCUGAUAUUAUAUCCGUUCAUGGAUCUAGAGACUUCAAACUAGCUAUUUUCAUCCCCAGAUUUUGUUUCUUUUCUUGUUAUCAAUAAUCUGAGAGAAUUUUCUACGGCAAAUGACCUUUUCCGUCAUUCACCAUUAACUCAUCAUCUUAUUUUGUCCAUUGCAUGUAUAAAGAACUUAUUAAGUCCUUCAACUUAUGAAUUAGGUUUCAAAAGGCUUCUAGAAAACAUUUCUUCUAACAUAAUAUCACAAUAGAAAUACGAGUUCUCCAUGGGUUAUAGAUCGAAAGAGUUAGAAGUCAAGAUCUGCAACCCUAAGUUGAUCACAAUAGACCAAGUACAUAGGAUGGAAAGAAUCCAUCCACCUUUUGCAUUAUCGAGGCAAAAUUUGAUGACCAAUUUUUUUUUUUCCUAAAUCACAUCGAGAGAAAGAGAGGACGAGGGAGAGAGAGAGAGAGAGAAACAGACAGCAAAUGGCCAGAGCUAUAGAUUCAAUAAUGAGAGAGGAAAAGAGAGAGCAAAUAGGUAUAAUUACUGACAAAUACAUCGAAAUAGACCAGGCCACUAAUAAAUCUAACGUGCCUCUAUCUUCAAGUCAAUCGAAAAACUUAAAACCACACCUGCAAGUAAUUUCACCCAUCUACACUUUCCAUCUGAUACGAUCUCUAGCUCUUUCUAUUUGUGCUCUCUCUCUCUCUCUCUCUCUCUCAACACACACACAAACACACACAUAUAUAUAUGUAUGUAUGUAUUUAUAUGUAUAUAUGUGUAUGUAUAUGUAGGUGUAUUUGUUUGUGUAGUAUAUGUGUGUGAAUAUGUGUACAUAUAUAUGUGCAAAUUUAGAAAGAAUGAAGUUGAUUACCAAAUUUUGUCCUAAUAAUGCAUUAUGUGUUAGACCCUUUCCCUUUUAUUUACUUAAUCUGUUGUGAUUAACCAAGGGUGCAGGUUUAGGCUUUAAUAAUUUUUAUCUAUUGCCCUUGGAGAACUUUCACGUCUCUCACUUGACUGGCAUCUAUCAAGCCAAUUUGGAAAGAAUUUUGCUCAGGCACCUUUUUUAAGACCCAAGAGGCAAUUCGAAAAACACAAUAGGUUCUAUUUAAACUAAAGAGACAAAAUAGGGUCAUGAGUUAAACUGUUGAAUGAGGUUAUCUAUCCACCCUUCCCAUAAAAGUAAAGAGACAUGAAAAGAAGAUGAGAACAGGCCAUUAAUUUAAAACCCAUAAAGUGUCAUAUUUAUCACUAAUACAAGACCUAAUAAGUUUGUAUUUGACAGAAAAUGUGUGACAAAAUAAAUUUUUGCAAAGAAUAAGUGAUUGACAAAUAAAUUUUUGCAAAGAAUAAGAGAUUGACAGAGAUUGAAUACUUCCUAUAGGGAGACUUUGCUCAAAGUAUCACAACUUUUAUAGUUUAGCACAGAAAGGAGCCAGUCCUUAAUACAUUACCAUCAUGUUGAUUUAGGAAUUUUAGGAAGGAAUUUCGAGUCCGAAUUAUUGUUGGUAUGAAUUUCAAUUAAAAAAAAGGAUUCCAAAUAAUUGUUGACAUAUGUAAUUACAUCAAAUUGUUUUAAACUACGAGUCAAUGAGAAAUCUUUAAAUCUUCAAAAACUGUACUCAAUAUUUAUUUCUAUUUAUAAAACACCCAAAUUCAUCAUAUACAAAAAUUAAAAUUCGAUCAGAGCAAUAUUGGAGAACCAAAUAUGAUUUAGUGAUUAAACAUUUUUUCUUGAUUCAAAACGAGGGUUCAUUUAUGAUGUUUGCAAUUCAUUUAUACCUUCAACUUCCAACCUUAUCCUUCUGAAAAUAUUUGUCAAAUUGGUGUCAUAAAAAAUUUUUCUUUCAUCAAGUUAGGUUUUUAACAAUAAAAUUUUCCGUUAUUUCCUUCUUAAAGUUGAAAGUAAGCCAAUCCAAGUAAAAUUUGUACCAACACAGCUAAUAAAAGUAAGUUACAGAAAAGCCUUGGAUCCUCAAUUGUGUCAAAUGGUACUGCCAUAUUGUCUCCACCGAAAUUAUACAUCUCAUUGGAACUUAACUUAGCAUAACAGGUUAAUUUAGGAGAUUUAGGUAAGCAAAGCUUCAAAAUAGGAGUACUCCUAUCCUGCUUAGACGUUCUCCAUGAUUAGACGUUCUCCAUGACUCCAAUAACAAGGAUGCAUUCUCUCAAUCUUGAAAGUUCGGAGGGAAUUGAGAAGGUUCCUCGUAGUACUAAUGCAUAUAGGCUGGUGUGAUUGGACAUUUUCAAAGAACAAGUACAAAAGCACAACAACUACUUACCGGCUUCAUUAUAGACAUGGUACCAUUUCCACUUGUAUUCAGUAUAGCCCCUCAUAGUCUAUGUACACAAUGUGAUCUAAGAACUACUACGCAAGGUUACUGCUUGUUGGGAUGAAAUGCUGCGUCUCAUAACAUUUGCUACUGAUUUUUAUUUUCUUUAAGUUGACAACUUGGCAUAAAACAUCAUCUCCAAAAAAAAAAAAAAGUGUUGCAGAAUUAGCACUGUUGAUGACAUUGGUACUUCCUCAAAUUGUGUGUAUCUUUGUCUAUCUAAGAUUUGCUGUGCUUCCAAGUUCCAAGGAUCUAUUAUUUGCACCUCCGGACGAAAUAAUAUCUAAACCCCUUCAGUCAAACUCAUUAAAAAACUGCACUUAUUGGUAAAAAUUGAUUUCAUAAGAACGGACAUAAAACCAGAUAAGGGAUCCCUGAUCCCUUAGCCCUGACAAAAGCUUGAGAACAUGCUUGGAAUGAUUAAUGGCCAAUCCGUUGUAAAAGUGGACAAAAAAUCUGAUUAAUAUGAUACCGUUUUGCUGAAGAGAGACAGAUAGAGAUUAUGAGCAGAUCAGUUGCGAAUGUUGAUGGUAAAUGUACCUGGAACUUGAGAGUUCAUGAAGCUACCCCCGAUCAGUGCAACUUCUGCAUCACAAAGAGCUGAGAUAGCUCAAAGGCCUUCUUGAGAACUCCCCUUCUCCUCUUUGACAAUGUCACUUGUCUGCUUGUUGCACUUUCUAUCCUCUUAAUCUGAGUUUUCCCUCUCAACAUUACGAGGUGCAAAAUUAAAUCCACCGACGACCCUGAAAGACAAAUCAAUGAUUCCAUAAAGGGUUAAAGUGCAAACAACAAAAAACACUUGAUCAAGAAAAAUCUAAAAUAAACACAUGAACAAAAAAGUUUCCAAAAAACGGCAAGAACCCGGAGGGAGUGGCACUGAUUGACCCCAAAAAAUGGAAAACCAGACAAUAUCUUUUCUGGGAAGUCUCAGAUCUGCAAGAUGGGAGAUGACAGAAGCUGGAAAAUAUUGGGUAGGCAAGACACUAGUAGAAACCCUAAAGAGAGAUUUUUUAGGCAAGAUGUACAGAGAAAUGAUAUUCUUCAAUAUCUUUGUAGUCUUUUUCUUUUUUUUUUUUUAUCUCAUAAGUCUCAAAUCUCAACCACAGAAUAAUCAGUAAAGCGCGUGUUUUCUUUCUUUCUUGGGAUAAAACUAAACGACGUUCCAUUACCAACCGAGUUUGAUGAUUUUGCCCGUACAAUUUUGGCAAGAUGUCACUGUUCGUUCGUACGGCGUCACGUGCUUGUGUACGCUUCUGGCUGCAGUCGGCUCUUACCACUUGUUAAUGACUGACUUUUCUUUGUCAUUUGCAUUUUUUGUGGUAACGAAUUUUUCUACUAUGAGAAGUGUCUCAUUAUCCUCGAUUGGUAUGGCUACUUGGGACCUGUCCUUCCUUUGAUUUUUUAUUUUUGUGGAAUAAUGUAUUGGCAUUUUUUUAAAAAAAUAUUGAUCCUGAAAAUAUUUGCAAAUCAUUUAUUGUGUUCUUCUUUUUUAAUAUAUUAGGAUCUUGAGGAUGAACAAAUGAGAAUGGAACUUGCCACAUACUCCCUAAGGAAAGCUGAAUAUCUUUCAAGACAAUGUGGCACUUAGAGAAGGAAUAAAGGAGAAUUGAGUAUGACAUAUACUGAGAAAAGAUAAAUGUAUUUCAAAACAAAGUAGCAAUUGUAUGAUGGUUAUUAGUCUGUAGUGAUAAAAUCAAAAGUUGAGUUUUGGGGCUAAAUUAAUAAGGAUGUACAUUUGAGGUUGUUGAAAAGUUCUUGAUCUAAGGCACCAUUUAGAUUGAAGGAAAGGGAAGAAAAGGAAAGGAGUGAACUCUAAUAGAAAAGAGAUGAAAGAAGAGUAAAGUGCAGUGGAUUCAAUCCAUCUUGUUUGGAUUAGAUACGAAAGAAAAAAAAUGGAAAUAUUGAAAAUAUUAUUUGGAUUAAGGAAGGAAAGGAACGUAAAGAAGCUAUCAUGCAUUUGUUACAUUUCUGUCCAUAAUUUACAAAUCUAAUUUAUAAACAUAUAGGUAUUCUAGGAAAAUUUUAAAUUCUCAUUCAUCUUAAUUUCUUUUCACUUCAUUUUUGUGCACGUUUGGAUGGAAAAGAGGCUCAUAAAAAAUAACGAGAAUGAUCCCUUUCUUUCCCUUUCUAUCCUUUCUCUCCCUUCUCAAAAUUCAAUCAAAUAUUAAAAACUUUAUCGCUUCAUUUCCUUUCUGUCUCAUCCCCUCAAAACAAACAAUGCCUAAAAGUUAAGAAUGAUACCAAAAAUUACAGGUUUUAGAUACAAAUGUUCAUCCCUGUUUUUUUUUAAAUAUAUAUUUGAGGUACCCUUGCAUAUUUGUAAGAGGCUUAUGGGUAAAAUCUAAUUUUUAGAAGGAUAUAAUUUUGACAUCUUAAGUAAAUAUAAAGCAAUUUAUCUUAUCGCCCUUUUUCUUUUUAUCUGCCAGUGACCCUAUCAACAUCUAAUGCCAGUAAAAUAUGCAUCCAACCUUUUGCAUCAUUUUAACGGUAAUUCUAUAAAAUAAGACGGCAUAAUAAGGCAGUAGGCCAAUAGGAUUUAAUAAUAAAAAAGGACGAUAUUAGAUACUUCCCUAAAAAUACCUGAAAGUUGGAUCUAUACAACAAAAGAAGUAAAGAAAACAAAUUAUACAAAGUCACGUAGAUUGAUAUAUUGUUUAUUUUUUCUUUUUUUUUUGACAAUUUUAACUAUCAGGAAGUCCGAUAAACAGCUGCGUUUCUACCUCUUUUCCUUGUUCUAGUGAUAAGAAUUGUUGACCAAUCGAUAGUUCCAACUGUCGCUCUUCGUACUGCAAAUUCAUUUUUCAAAAAAAUAUAAAUUACCAAUAAAUAGCUUUGGCAUAUGCAAACUAAACAUUAAUGGUAGUAAUACUUCUGGGGGUUGAUAAAUCUUAUAGCCCAUCAGCUUAAAUCCUCAACAUUGAUUACAUUAUUGUUACCAUUAGAACUUAUACAAUAUGUGAAUUUGAAAUAAAUGUUUGUAGUUUCAGACCUUAUCUAAUACUUUUUUUUUUUUCAAGUUUUCCCUUACAUUGGAGUUCCUUUCAAAGAAUUUGGUUAUUUUGUUAAAAAAAAAAAAAAAUUGAAUCGAUAUACUGACUUCCAGCGUCCAUACCUAUCCAACAUCAUAAAGUUGGAAUAGACUUUUUAUUUGUGGUCAUUCUAGGUAUAUAUAAAUUAAUAACGUUAUGAGUAACAAGAGUGACUUACCUUUUCCCGUAAUUCCGCAUUUUCCCUCCUAAGAAUUUUCUCCUGAAUUUGACAAGAUAUGCAAAGAAUAUUAGCCAUGCCAAUUAACAUGAAAUGCAUAAACUUUAUUUCGGACUAAAAUGUGAAUGAAAGAAUAAGCAACUCCUGAAGCUUCAAAUGCGUAUUUUACCUCUUCUUUCAGCUGAUUUAUUUCCUCGCAAGAGAAUAGGAUCUGCAAAAGAAUUGAACUUCGAUUUUGACCAUCAAAUUCUACAUUCUGAUCAUGUAAUUGUAGAGAUGUCUAUCGCAAAACGUACCUUUCUUGACCUAAUGAUUCUUAAACUUUUCUCCAACUGAUGUUCUAUUUGUUCCAACUCAUCAAUGGAGGAGGAAUCUAAACCAUCUCCCAAGAACUUUCUGCUACAUACAAAAAUUAUUAUGUUUUAAAUCACCAAAAACUGUAAGAAAUCCAUGUUGUUAUACGAUAAGGAUGAGUUCUGCUUAAAACUUGAACAAAUGUGCCAAUGUUAGGACACCACCGUUUAGUUUCUUCAAGAAGCUCAAUUUUUUUCCUCAGGAUUGCAACCUCUUCUUCAAAAUGCUGCACAAAUAAGAGUAUGCUCAGCAAGGAUCAAAAGAUUUAGCAGAAUAAAUCCGUGGGCAAGAUCUUUAAGGCAAAGAAUCAGUUGGCACUGAUCCAUGAUCUUGAAUGAGAUUCUCAGAAUCAAGAAAUCAAGUGAAUGUAAGACAUUACGGCUAUUCAAUAAUAGUUCAGAAGGAUCUUGACUGCCAUUCCGAGAAAUCAAGAAGGUGAAUGCCAAGAAAAUGCUUAUUUUGGACUUUGAACGUGAUAAUGGCUAAAUUUGUGAUCUUUUUGAAUGUGUUUCCUAUUGUUUUUGAGUCUAUUUGUAAGAUUAAUUGGUAUAAGAUUUUCAUUUUUGUCUUUAAUUUGCAUUUUAAAUUGAUAGAUGAAUUAGUUGUGAUUUUGUCAUUUUACUUGCAAAAUCUCUUUAUUUUUGUAGGUAAAAUGAUCAAACUCAAUUGGAAGCAAAAUGGUGAUCUAACAAAGCAAGAAUUAGAAACUUGAAAAAGUCACAACAAUGUCUAAAGUAGGUGAUGCGAUUCAAGGAUAUUUCUUUAAAAAAAGAAAGAGAGAGAGAAAAUCUCGAGGGUUACUCUG